This 71483-nucleotide long non-coding RNA is filed under the name Vitis vinifera (wine grape). RNAcentral's name for it is "long non-coding RNA (VVIN_LNC006492)". The record is from RNAcentral. Lineage: Eukaryota; Viridiplantae; Streptophyta; Magnoliopsida; Vitales; Vitaceae.
ACUCAAAAGAGUCUUGGGUCAUGGGGAGAGGAGCCGAGCCUAAGGAUUCAUGUCAAGUUAAAUUAUUUGCAAAGCAGAAAGGUUAGACAUUGGAAGCAAAAGGGCGGUGAGCACAGCUAGAAAAAGUGCUUUAUCGACACAUGCUUUUGUUAAAGAGCAAUAUCAUAUCUUUCCACGAGUUUAGACACUUUCCUUCUCUUAAAUCAUAAUAUGUGGAUAUCACAAAUAUUACUUUACGUGUCACUGACUCAACCCCAGAAGUAUCCACCAAAGAUCUCUUUUUUAAUCAUAAGGCUUAAUUAAUAAUUUAGUAAAUUUAAUAAUCAUUUUUUUACAGAUAAUUCUUCAUGGGAAACUCAUGAAAUGACAUGUGAACUGUUUUGUGAAUUGGGUAUAGAUUGAUUAUCUAUAAUUAUAACCGAGGAAGCAUGGAAACCCAGAUUCAAACCGACAUGCCACGUCCCUCCAACUUCUUUAAUGGUACGUGUGGUCACUUUAUAUUGACUCUCAAGCACCAGGACAGACAGAGCCAAGUUGCAUUCACAUUACAAAUCAUUCAAUCAGAUCAGCAAAUGGGCAAUCAAUAUACCUCAAAGGUUCCUUUUUCUCCAUCUAUAAAUAGGGGUUACUCACACUUCACUCAUCCAUCCCUCCAGCAAACAAGCUUCUUUUGAGUCUCUCAUUGCUUCCCAGUUUUCAUUCCCCUAAAGUAAUGGCUUACUCCAAGACGUUUCUCCUUCUGGGUCUUCUAUUCGCUGUUGUCCUUAUCCUCUCCUCUGAGGUGUCGGCCAGAGAGCUAGCCGAGGCUGCACAUACCCGUGAGUUUCCCACUUUUUUUUACACACUUGUUAUAUCAAUUUACAGCUGAUGUACUGUGACUAAUUCAACUAAUCCAAUUUUUUUUUUUUGUUCUAAUGACAGAAGGGAGUGUGGAAGACGCUAAGUCCUGGGGACAUGGGCAUGGCCAUGGACAUGAACACGAGCAUGGCCACUGGGGACAUGAACAUGGGCACGGCCAUGGGCAUGGGCAUGGGCAUGGACACCACGGCCAUGGUGGUGCUGGUGAGACUGUGGAGAAUGAAACUGAAGCUGGCGAGAAUUAGAUAGCAUUUCUAGCUGCUGUAUUUUCACGCCCAUGGGUGGAAGUAGGUUGUGUGGUUUAUGUGAGUUUGUAUGUGAAUAAGGCAUGUGCUUGUCAGUGGUUGCCACCAAUGUUCCUCUAGGAAGAUGGUUGUGUUGCUUUGACAAGAUGUUAAAGCAUGUGUGAAACUUGCAGAUGUCAACUUAAUUAUUGUCCUGAAAUUAGAACUUUUUCCAAGUCCUUUGUCUCUAUAAGCAAAGUAAGCAAAAUAAGUAAGGUAAAAGCAGAAAGAUCAAACAGGAUUUCUCUGCAUAAUUAAGUAUCUCCAUUGAUCUUUUUUAAAUGAAGACUAAAUAUUUGUGGGUUCAGACCUCUUUACAGGUAUUUGUGGGUUCUUGAUUUCAUUGUUCCAUAUGCUCUUACUUCUCAUUGAAAAAAAGUUUUAAGUUAAAUUGAUAAUUAAAUAAUAAGUUUUAAGAUAAUAGAAUUUAAUUUAAAAUUAAUGAUCUUAAAUCAUUAAAUAUUAAGCAUGACCAUAUUAAUCCCACCAAACAAAGUAGUUGGCCAUAUAUGAUUUGCGUUUACCCAUAAUUGAAUAUUGAUUAAAUCAUGUUUAAUAUAGUGAAAUACGUAGAUAGAAAUGAACAAGUAUAGUGAUACAGCUUUGUUCUAAUAGACAUAACAAGGAAAUGAAUACAAAUAGUAUUUUCACCAUCAUAUUGUACAAAAUCAAAUACGUGGGAGAAUCCAUCCAAAGGAGCAACACAACAGAGUUAGCGAUAAGCUUGAAGAACACUUGUAAAGUUGGUGGACAUAAGGACAAAUAUAAGAUGACGUGAGAGGGGACAUCAUCAUUUUUGUAUCUGUCACGUGAGUAAAGUCGAGUCAUAAAGAAUGCUGCCCAAUAGAUGUAGGGCACCAGCCCAUAAACUGCAUGCAUAUGAAGUUGAAUGUUAAAGCUCAACCCCAGCACCUAUCAGCUAUGGGUCGGUCACUCAAUUUUUUGGGACUGGGUGAAGUGAGCAGGGACGUAUGCGAUGCAUAGGACAUGGUUGGAUAUUAAUUUGCAUGAAAUUUUUGAGCUCCAAGCCUGCAACUUGAUAUGGUAAUAUGUAAACACUGAAAAGGAAAUGUUAAACUAACAUAUGAUAAUUACCAAGCAAAAGAUUUGGACCGUUUAAGAGGAGACUAAAAAUAUGUAUGUGCAAUUCCCUGAUUGAUGAUAUCUUUAUAAUAGGUAUCGAAAAUGGUAACUACGUAGAUCCAAAGAAUUAGGAUUAGAGAUGGCAUUACGGCAACUUAGCUUUAUCCUUGCCCACUUCAUUUUGCAGUACUCUACAGAGAAGAACAAAUUAAGCUGGUCCUAUCCUACAUCGACAUGGUAUUCGGGCCACUACCCCAUGUAAUAGCAUAUUUUGUCCAGAUGGCAAAUUUUGAUGGCUUACAAGAAUUUGUGAAACUUCUUUUGUGGCUGCUAUUGCGGGAAAUUAAUCAAAUGGGAGCAUUGUGGGCUGUCUGAGUAUAGUUUUUCUACAUUUCCUUUUCUACACUUGUAUCCAAAAAUCACCUUCUCUGGUAUCCUUCUAUUUGAGGACUCCCGAGUACUUUUUCUUCUUUCCCAACACCUUAUCCCUUUCUCAACAUUAAAAGCCAUAGUCUGGAGUUCAUCAGGGUUGAAACCCUCCAAGUUUUGCAACCCCACAAAGAGGGGGAGCUUGCAAAUCACAAGACUAUUAUUUGUUAGAUUAAUUAAAGCUGAUGAAUUUUAACAUGUUUUGUGAUUUGGGUGUAGAUUAAUUAUAUGAAGGAGGCAUCAAAAGUAACAGGUUGAAACAAACCGACAAGCCACGUCUCUAGAAUUUCUUUAAUGGUAUGGUUAGACAAAAUCUUCACUCUGACACACCAAGAUGAGAACGUGUACCCAUUCACAAUAGGAAUCAUUCAAUCGCGUCAGAAAAUGGACAAUCAGUCUCUCUGAAGCUCUCCCUUUUUCCAUCUAUAAAUGCGGGUUACUCCCACUGCACUCACUCAUCCAUCCCUUGAGCAAACAAUCUUCUUGUGAGUUUUUUUCAGUCUUCGUUCCCCCAACAAAAUGGCAUACUCCAAGGUUUUUCUCCUUCUUGGCCUUCUGUGUUCUGUCGUUCUUGUCCUCUCCUCUGAGGUGUCAGCCAGAGAGCUAGCUGAGGCUGCUCAAACCCGUGAGUUCCCCACUCUUUUAGACACUUUGUAUGCAUCACUUGCUACUAUGCACAUUCUCUUGAGCUGCACAAUAGCACAUGCCAGUCAAUGGUGUUUUUGCUCUAACUGAUAGAUUAACAAAUAAGCAAAGUACCUUUCUAAUUAUAAUUAAACCAUGGAUAUAUCUUGGAGAAUUUCCUCACCACUCCUUAGCAGAAUCAAUACCGUGACUAACUAAUAACGCCCGGCCUUUUUUUACUCUUUCUAAUGGUAGAAGGGAGUGUGGAAGAAGCUAAACACUGGGGACAUGGACACGGGCAUGGACACUGGGGACAUGGACAUGGGCAUGGUCAUGGCCACAGGCAUGGACACCAUGGCAAACCCGGACAUGGUGGUGCUGCUGAGACAGAGGAAAAUGAAAGUGAAGCAGGCGAGAAUUAGGCAGAAGCACUUCUAGCUGCUGUAUGUGCACGCAUACACCGUGCAAAUAAGGUUGUGUAAUUUACGUAAGUUAGUGUGUCAAUAAGGCAUGUGUGAUCAGUGGUUGCCACUAGAGUCCCUAAGUAAGAUGGAUGCAUGGGUUUGCCAAAAAUAUUAAAGAAUCAUUAUGUUAGUUUAUUAGCCUGAAAUGAGAACUUUCUCAGGGCUCCUUUGCAUCUGUUUUUGGCUUUUAAUACCAAGAAAAAAGUUAAUGAAGCAGAAAGAAUAUGGAAAUUCAACUUAACCAAUUUGCCACGUCUCUAAAUUUUCUCCAUUUUCUUCCUUGACAUGACUCAAACAUAUGAGAGAAAACGUUGAUUAAUUCUCUUUCACAUGUAGCUAAGGACUUGGCGUAAUCUCAAUGGAAUAUUCCAAUUCACUAGAUACCUCUAAAAUUAACACUUCCGAAUCAAUCAUGUGAACCCACCGGACGGUCUCUUACUCUCCCAGUCAAUACAAAUCAUUUUAGCAGUCUUUUACCUUAUUUUAUGUUUUGAAAAUGGCUUUCUCUAAAGCUUCUCUUCCUCUUGGCCUUAUGAUUGGUGUUGUGUGUUCAUCAUCUCCUUUGGGUUUUCAGCUUGGGAGUUAGCUGAUGCAGCAGCCCAAACUUAAAGAAUCUCUAUGAAUUGUUUUUUUCAACAGGCUCAAUGAUAUCCUUUUAUAUAUAAUUUAACAUUUUAUUUUUAAAUCAUGAAACUCUGAAGGAUGCCAAUUAGUAUGGUGGAUAUGGACAUGGCUACCGGCACCAUGGCCAACCUGGUCAUGGUGGUGCUGGAGAGGAGAUGGCAGAUGAACCAGAAGGUCGCAGUUAGAUUGUUCAUCCUUAUUGGUACAGUACAACAACAUGGGGUGGAUGAUUCAGCAUAGCUGGGCUUUAUCUCUGUGUUUUCUCAUGUUGUUUCUAACCCUUUGUGCAAUAUAUUUGAGUGCAUAUCAGCGCAUGAUAUAUGCAAAAUAAUCAAAGUAAAUGUUGCUGCUUGUGAGCGUCUCUUGUCAAAGUAUAUAUAAGAAAAUAUAUACUUGAAUAGAGAUUAGUUAGUGAGAAUCAAGUUUGAAAAAGAAUUAUGAGGUUGUUUGAUGUGAGGACAAAUGAAAGAACAAUGACGUGAGAGGUGACGCAACCAUAAGCAUGAUAUAUACUAUAGGGCUUAGGAUGCAUCCCCAUGUAGAAAUGUAGGGCCCCAAGUCCCUGAGUUGCAUGUGAGGUUUAACUUAGAGCUCAAAGCCAAGAGCCAUCACGCUCACCCUUGGGUCACUCAGCGGUAUUCUCUUCAGGACUUCGUGACGUGAGGAGGGACGUAUGCAAUGUACAUGAUUGGUCGAAGAAUUUUGUUAUCCAAGAGAUCAUUCUGAAGAAUAUCUUUGAACCACGAUAUGACAUGCUAAUAUCAUUGAAGUUAAAUCAGCAACUUUCUAAAAAUAUUGGUAAAAAAAAAAAAAAAAGUUAAAAUGAUCAUAAAAUUUUCAAUUUAUUUCCAUAAAAAGAUCAUUUAAAAGCUUAUUUAAUAAUUCUUAUAAUUUUUUUAAUAAAAUUUGAGAUUUUUUUUCUUCCAAAUAAGUAUAAAAUCUUUUGAAAGUGAUGAAAUAUUUUACUUAGAAAUUAUCUAUUAUAUAAAAAUAUGUCUAACAUAAUAAAUGUCUUGAUAUCUAAACUUUUAAUGAAAUGAUGUAUCGAUUAAGAAUUUGAUAUUUAUCAUUCUCUAAAGUUCAAAUGAUCAUGAAAAAUUUUGAAAUUUUCAAAUGAUGGAAGAGAAUAUACCAUGAAAAAAUUAUUUAACAAAAUAUAAAAUACAAAAUGAUAAAAAAAAAAAAUUAUAAGAUGGAAAAAAAUUCAGAUAAGGUUAGUAUAUAAGAAACAAAGUGAUAAAAAUAGAAUAAAAGAAAACAAUAAAUAAAGGUGUUAUUAUAUUUCCUCUUUAAUUUUAUUUAACUUAACAAAGUAAAGAUUAAUUUCACUCAUUUAGAUUAAGUAUAUUAAGUUGUUGAUGUUUGGAUUAAAUAUACUUAGUUAUUAUUAACCUAACAUUUGGGUAAAUAAGGAAAUACAAAUAAAUGAAAUAACAAAUAAAUAGGAUUACAAAAUGUAUUUGAUGAAAUUUCAAAUUUAUGAUGAUUAUGUAUAAUUCAAACCUUAAGAGAGGAGAGUGAAAUUAAUUUUAUAAAAUAGAUUUAUUUUUAUUUUUUAAAAUCUCUAGUUAUAUAUAAGAAUUUUCUUUCUUUUUUUAAUUUAUGGGGAAUAAUACAUAAGAUGUUUUUUUUUUCUUACAUACCAAUUUUAUUUGUCACCUAUUAUGUUGAGUUGUCCGAAGUCUAAUUGUAUUGUAUAUUGGUUCCAAAUCACUAUCCUCUUGUCACCUAACUUGAAGUUGUACAUUUACCAAAUCAUCACCUAACUUAAAGUUGUACACUUAACUAAUCUAACUAAAAUACUUAAUCCUUAAUGAAUACCACAAUCAUCUUAAAAAAUCUUCUACAAAAGCUACGAGUCUCUAGAAAGUCUCUAAAACUAUACGACAGAAAACCCAUGAGGCAAGAAGCUUAUAAAAAGCCUUUAAAUUCCUUCAAGUGAGGAAAGAGAUAGAGAGUUCCAUCUCCAAGCAGAACCACCUUCAAAUAGUUUGAGAAAAACCUCCACAUCUGAAAAAAUUUGCAAAAACAUAGAAAGACUAUUGUAAGUGUUGAGACGUCAUUUGUUUUUAUUUUUGGCUCUGGCCAGCCGUACCACCGAACUGUACCAGACGGGGGCAUCACACCCGGAAUGGGCCAGGACCAGAGUGGCCUCCCUAGGAUUCGAAUUCAAGACUAAGGUCUUUUUGGUUGCACUUCUGGUACCAUUUGAGCUACUAGCUCUUGAGUUCGAAUCCUGGGGAGGCCACUCUGGUCCUGACCCAUUCCGACUGUGAUGCCCUCGUUUGGCACAGUUCGGUGGUACGACUGGUCAGAGCCAAAAAUAAAAACAAAUGACGUCCCAACAGUAAGCACAAGAAUAAUGAGAAGUCACAUGUCAUUCAAUUUUUGUUUUGCACCAAAGCAGAAGAAAUAAAAGAAAACAAUUUCUUGGAAGCUUCAUAAUCAAGGAGCUUACAAAUAGCUUCUCCCAACCAAAUUAAAGAGGGCAAAUCCUUCUCCUCUAUUGAAUCCCUCUCUAUAUCCACUAAACAGAUGAAUAAAAAUUCAGUUAGUCAUGAAAGAAUUUUAGUACCUUCAUACGCUUUCUUGUAAUUGUAGAUCAAUUUUUGUAGUUAGAUAGAUGAAUCAAAUGGUUCUAGUCAAUUUUUAAGUGAUAUUUUAAGUAUUUUAUGCAUGUAUUAAUUUAUUCUAAUUUUCAUAUUAUAUAAUAAGUUAUUAAUUAGGACAAUUGUUUUUGGUUCUAGUGAAUUUUUAAGCGAUACACAUGUCUCCAGGAAACUGGAUAUCUCCAGAAAAGAUUUUAAGUUCAAUCCUUUUUUUUUUUCUCUCCACUCGGACCAAUCCACUUACUCGGCUUCUUGUAUUUAAAGUGAUUCGUGUAUCUACUCCAAUGAUACUAUUGUUCCGUACCAUUAUGGAAGCAGAUCCGGGUAAAAUAUGCACUUCCUCGGGAAUGAAAAAAAAUCGAUCUACUUUCAUUUGGUAUUUUGGCUUAAAUUCUUUGACUCCUCGAUAUUCAAUCAAAUCCUCUUUUUUAACGAUUGAAUGCGCCUCUAUAGUCCCAUAUUUAGUAUUAGUUUAUUCUAAUUUUCCUAUUAUACACUAAAUUAUUAGGAUAAUUGAUUUUAUGAAUAGGAGUAAAGGCAAUUAUUGUAUUUUGUGGGAUCAUUUUGCAUACUCUUUUAUUAUAGUGAAAAAUAGUAAAGUGUACGUAACUCUUAUUAAGAGGAAACCGCUAUAAGUCCUAUCUAUGCUUUACCUAUUCCAUGCAUGACCCACAUACCCAUUCUCAAUCCUUCAUGUGGGAUCGAAUUUAAUCAUAGCAGUUGGCAAGAAAAAUAAUUCUCUCUAACCUCUUUGUUAUAAGGUUACAUUAAUGACACAAUAGAGUGCUUCAAUUAGUUUUUCUUUAACAAUCCAUUAACGUAUCGACAUGAAUAAGGAUCAAUGGAAGAGAUGUGAGCAGGGACGCAACCAUAAUAUAGGAAUUAGAAUCUAGUACCUAAUUAAGCCUUUGAAAUGAAUGCAAGUUAAGGAUAAUUUAAGUUCAAAUUAACCCAGCCAAGGCCUAUCUCCUAUGGGUUACUCAAUACCAUUAUUUGGGAUAUAUGCAAUAUCAUUUCCUGAUCAUUGAAGGAAUUCUGUAAUCAAAGAUAUUAUGAUGAUAUUUUUGAACUGCAAUAGGAUAAAGUAAUGUCAUAUUGUGGAGAAUUUUGAAUUAAUGCGUGCAAGCUUAGUGAUGUUUGAUAAUUGUUUUUUAAAACAGUUUUAAAAAACAGUUGUUAAGAAUAAUUUUUUAAAAUUGUUUUUUAAAGUUCUGUGGAAUAAAAGUUUGUUUGAAAAUUUAAAAUGUUUUUAACUUGUUUUUAAUAUUUUAAACAUGUUUUAAAAAUAAUUUUUAUAUAUAAUACUUUAUUUUUAAUUAUUCUAUAUAUUUGUAUAUUUAUUAUUUUUAAAUAAUUCUUAAAAAAUAAGGGAAAAUAAAAAAAUAAUUAAAAGAUAUUUUUUGAAAAUACCAUAUUUUAUAUUUUUAAUUAAAAUAAAAAAUAAAAAAUGGUUUUUAGUUAUUAAAAAUAUUUUUUUUUAAAAGAAAAAUUAUUUUUGAAAACAAUUAUUUAUAAGCAGAAAGAAAAAAAAAUAUGUUUUUUUAGUGUUCCACUAUCAAAAUUCUAACUAUAUAUAUACAUAUGUUUGACCUCCCUAAAUAUCGAAAUAAAUGCCCACCAACAGGAUAUUGGUAGGUGUAUAUAGUACAUCUAAAAGAACAAGUAAUUGAAACUUUUUUCCUUUUCCCUGAUUUACUCUCUCUUUCUCUCGCCUUCCAUUAUGAACUUUUGAAAUAGGUUUUUGAGAGAGCUAAGAAAAUUGAAUCCCACGAACGUGAGAGUCCCAACAAAAGUGACUUCUGGCAAAACCAUGUGAAUAAAAGCUUUACUGCUAUUUUUGGUUUAUUCUUUGGAGCCUCAUUCUACAGUCCACAGAAGCCCGCAAAAGUGGUUCUACACCAACAUAUUACUAGCAAUUACCAUGUGAUUAUGGAACCUCUUUUGUGGCAGUAAACGUAUUGUGGGUUGUGAAGUAUAAGUUUUUUGCUGCAUCCUGGGCUUUCUGGACAGUCUCAACUCCAAUAUAUACACAUAAGGUUCAACUUUAAAGGCUAUAAAAUAAGGUUUAAAAAGUACUUAUAACGAUAACUUGUUCUUAAGGUUGUACAGAUUGCUUCCUACAAACAUAGAUACAUGGGAUAAAUAUUUGGUGUUUAUGCAUAAAUGGUAUGGGCUCUUUAGACAAAAUGUUGAGUUUUACUCAUAGAAGGCAAGGGGCAUUUACACUACAAAUCAAUCAAUGGGACCAGAAUGUAGACAAUCAAUCUUUCAACUUCUCUUUCUAUGCAUAUAUACAUAGGGGGUCUUCACGAUGCUUGCACUCACCCAUAAAUCCCCUAUCCAACAAUGUCCUUUUGAGUCUCUCCUUAGUCUCCUAAGAAAAUGGCUUUCUCUAAGGCUUUUGUACUCCAGGGCCUUCUCUUUGCUGUUCUUCUCAUCCUCUCUAAGGUUUCAGGAAGAGAGAUAGCUGAGGCUGCUCAAACCCCUGAGUUUCUCGCAUUCUUAAACCUUACUUUUUGCCUUUCAUCUUUGAAUCUUUGCCACCAUGCAUGCGCCCACAUAGUCUUGAUCAGCACAGCACACCCCAAUGCCAGUGAAUGGUGUGUAAAAUGUUCACCAACUUUUCCUAGUGUCUCACAAUAUUUGCAAGCAUUCCAGUUGAGGCUUUCUGCCAAAUCAAGAGCCUCUAGUCCUGUACAUCAUGCCACGGAGGACAUAUACUUGCUCUUGAUUUAAGAAACCUUUAAGAAUAGGCAUCGAAGAAUGUUCUCUCUAAAUUGCCUUUGUGACAGGUUUAGUUUCAUCAGUGUUUAGUUACAACUUUUCCCCUACACAUUUGAGGUUUCAGAUUUUCUUGGCUGAGAAAAAUCAAGUAAUAGUUCAGUGAAUACGAAGAAAAUCUUUCUCUAUAACCACACAGCGAAUAACAGAUGAGAAUCUUGGAAUUUCCCUUGCCACUUCUCAACAGAAUCAAGCACUGUGGCUGAUUCAACCUUUUUUUUUUUUUUGUUUUCCUCUUUCCAGUGACAGAAGGAAGUGUAGAAGAAGCUAAGAACUGGGGACAUGGAUAUGGACACGGGCGCUGGGGAUUUGGAUAUGGACAUGGACAAGGCCACUGGGGAUUUGGACAUCGACACGGCCACCGGGGACAUGGACAAGGGCAUGGCCAUUGGGGACACGGACACGAAGGCAUACCCGGACACAAUGGUGCUGGUGGGAAAGUGGAUUUUAGCAUAUUAGCCUAUUUUCUUUUUGUUAUUUUUCAUUUUUGUUAAUACCUAUAGUUGGUGAGGUGUUUGUUUUUUUAGAUGAGCUUUACAGCUCCAUUUGCGUGAACUUCUGUGAGGUAAAGCUCUUUAGCUCCUCUGUUUUCUAUCCCUGUACAACAAUCAAUCAAGGAAAGAGAAUCAGUCAAUUUCUCUCCAUUUUCCCUUGUAAUAGUGAAGAAGGAAACCGAAGCUGGUCAGAAUUAGAUAAAACACCCCAGUUGCUGCAUUUGCACAACUACUAUAACGUCUGAGGUUCUGCUGUUUAUAUAAAUUUGUAUAUAAAUAAGUCAUGUGGUGAGGAGCAGCAGCCACAAUAUCCCCUCAAGAAGAUGGUUGAAUUAGUUUGCCUAGCUAGACCUUCAAGCAUGUGAAAAACUAGCACAAAAGAAAAGAUGGUCGGUAAGUUGGCAUUUAAAGACUUAUCCCAUUAAAAGAAGUCGGCCCAAGCGCAGCUUGCUGAAUGAUUUUCUUUACUUGGUUCCUAUUCAACUUCUUUACAUACUGAAAGGGAAUAUUUGUGCCAAAACCACCCUUCCCCAAAAUGGUUCAAGUGCAAUAAAAAUGUGUUCAUAGGAUUCCUCACAGUUUAUGAAAACUUUUAUUUCAAUGGUUCAAGUAAAAUAAAUUGGUCAUUUUGGCCAUUAAAUAUUGACCAAAAUGAUUCCUUUCACCACAUGCUUUUCUUUUUAUCUUUUUCCUUAAAGGCCAUCUUGUUCCGAAAAAUACCUGGAAAAGAAAAAAAUUAUUAAUGAAAAUGAUUUUCUCAUAUUUUGUUUCAUUAUAAAAAUAUAAAAGAAAAUAACAUAUAACUAAAAUUAAUUUAAAAUUUAUAUAUUUUUAAAUUAUUUAAUCUUAUUAUAAUAGAGAAAAAUAAGUAAAAUGAGUUUAAAGAAAUAUAUAAAAAUAAUUUAUUAAAUUUAAACUUAUUUUUAUUUUCCUUCACUUUCUUUUUCUUCUCUAUUUUCUUUCCUUCGUGCUUUCCCUCAAAUUUUCUUGAAACCAAACAUAGCCUAAAGAAAUCAGUUUGAAACCACAUCUAGAAAUUGUGGUUUUUAGUACAAAUUUAGAAAUUCCUCUAUCAGCUUUAAUAUACAUUUGGAAACUAGGUUUUUAAUUUUUUUUAAAAAGGGCUUUAUAGUCUUCUGUGGAUCACCUUGAGGCUUCAAUAUUUUAGGGACCCAAGAAAGACUAUGACUAAGGGAUAUGAUUCGCGGAACCAGUUUUCAAAGUAAAAUUAUGUUGUUUUUUCAAUUGAUCUUGGGGAACUGCAUCUUCAAAAACGAUUCAAGUGUCUUUUUGGCUUUGGAAACAGGAAAAAUAAAUGAUGGUGAAUUGUUUCCACAUAUCAAGAGAGGGGCAUAUAGAUAUAUAAUUCACUCACUCAUCCAUUUCCUCGAGCAAAUUGAUCAUCUUCUUCUGAGUCUCUUCUUAAUCUUCAUUUCCCAAAGAAAAUUGCUUACUCUUGAGACAUUUUUCCACAUGGCCUUUUGUUUGUUGUUAUGAAGUGCCUUGUUUUCUUUAGAGGAAGGGGCUUUGAGGUUUUCGAGGUCAAGGCUGAUAACGGGUGCUUCAUGCAGUUAUGGUUUGAAACUCUAUGUCACUUGUGUAGCAAGGGGGAAGCCAUAAGGUGGGGUUGUGAGUUCUAAUGCUAGCUAAGUGGUAGAGGCCAAGGCAAUAGAGUUUUGCAUUCUUAUACCCUUAAAUGAAUUAUCAAAGGAUGAGCAUUUUGGCAAUGUGAUACAAAGACAGUACGACCCUGAAGAUUGCACUAGUGUGGGGUAGCACAAGGAUUAAGUUUGAUUAUAGCUGACGGAUUGACUACAAAUAUAUUCUGGCCAUGAUUACAUGUUUUACAUUUUAAACAUCUCUUUAAAUGUUAUAUUAUGAUAACUUUCGUAUACUAACUUUAUUAUAUGAUAUGUCAUGACUGUUCAAUGGAUUUCAAUUCACUCUAUUUAAUGGACAAGAAGCAAAUAGGUUUACUUAAAGGUUGAGCCAAAGUUAGUUCCCAAGAGUGAGCCUUAAAGCAUGUGCCUAUUGGCUUAUUUGGUUAUCCUUAGUUACAUUGGGCAUGUGCCUUUGAGGCAUAUUGCUAAUUUGAGGUUGUACCUGUCCUUAAAACUUUGUUAAUGCUAUGGUCUUAUGCUUUUAUUUUCUUUUUUAGUAGUCUUUGAUUUUGCUUCACAGCAUGCCUCUUACCUUCAGCUACAAACUCCAUCUUCAUUCCAUAAACUUUCCCUUUUAUGAUCUAAAACAUUUAUAGUGAUAUAACUAACACUUCCAUACUCAAUAGACACAACUAUUUUUUGUUAGAUGGAAGAUGCUGAUUUCAUUUGAAGAAGUAACUGAAUAAUUUUUGACAUACAGUAUGAUCCACUAAUAUCCAAUCUAAAAGAACUGAAUCCCCAGAAAGUGAGUUCUCACCAAAAGUGAAAUCAGGCAGAACCAUGAGAGAAAAAACUUCCCCAACUUGAAAAUUCCCCAGAAACUUCUACUUUGCUGCUAUCUUUGGUCUUAUCAUUUGGAGCUUCAUCCUUCAGUAUAAAGACAAGAACAAAAGUGGUCCUAUACCAUUAUAUUACAAGCCAUUACCAUGUGAUAUUAAUGUUGGCGAAACGUCGUAUUUUAUGGAUUACGAUAAAUUCAGAAACUUCUUGUGGCUAUAGUUGCAUUGUAGGUGGUGAUUGGUGGAGUAUAAUUUGGCUACAUCUGGAUUGCUUGGAUGGUUCCAAGAUUGGGACUCAGGAGUCUUCCCUCAUUGCAGGCAGGGGCUCUGAACUAAUUUGAAAAGGUAUUUCAUCUUUGUAUAUACAUUUUUUUCCUGAAGAUUUCCAACAUGUUGGGACAAAACACAUAAAACAAGUCUUCACUAAGUGUGUUAGAAAAGCUAUUGAAAAUAUGCUUCCUUUUUCUAUCUGGUAUCUCAAUUAGUGUUUUUAGUACUCCCAACUUCCGCUUUUUGGCUUAUAAUUAACGCAUACUUUAUGAAUUAACUUAACUCCAUUGAACAAACUUUCCCCACUGCAUUAAAUGGAGUUUGCAAGCCAUGAGGCUUAAAGAAAAUUCAUUUGAUUAACUUCUGUAAUGGUGUGGUCAUGUUAGACAAAAUCAGGACUUACACAACAAGACAGCAAGUGAAUUAGCAUUGCAAACUAAUUGAUGAGAUCACGAAAGGGAGAAUUGGUUUCCCUGAACAUCUCCCUCAUUCAUUGAGCUAAUAAUCUUCUGUUAAGCAAAUAAAGUUUAGUUUAUCUCAGUUUGGUAUAAAAUCCAUACUUUUAGGUAUAUCAAUGGGUCAGAAGUUCCAAAGUUCCCUCUGUUUUGGUUCUCUGUUUAUGAACUGUCCCAUUUGAGGCUCUGCUUAGCCAGAGGAAGUGCCAACUAAUGCUGAGCUGCUGCUCAUGGCGAAGUUAACUACCCUAACAGCUAAAGAAUAUGAACUCCAAUAGAACAUCAACACACCUUUAAUAGCACCAUAUUCUUCAAUAUGAUAUUAAAAACUCUGUAGUUUUUCUCAGAUUUAAGAGCAUUAUUCUAUAUCCUAUCUGCCUUACAUCUCUCUCAUAACUAAACCAACCCAGAUUUGCCACCAUACUGUCUCCUGUCUUGUGGCUAAACCAAACAAUAAGCCUGUCACUAAGAUCAACCACCCUGAAAUACUGAUUUAGCCCAUGGUUUGUCAUCUUCAUAAACCUGAAUAACUGCCCAAUCGAUAGAGGAGAAGAUCACUGACUGCUGCCUGCAAAUUCUGAGUAACCUUAAUUUUUGUUGUUGAUCAAACAAUUCCAUACAAUAAACCAUCCAUGGCCCACCAAAAUAUGCAAUUUUUAAUCCCUGGUUUGCCAUCAACAUAAUUUGUGAGGAUAUAAAAGUCAUUAUCUUAUGUCGUUUGGAGAACUAAGUCAGAGAUUUUUCAACAUUGUUGCAUUGAAUGGGGGUAUCUUUUCCCUAACAAGCUCAAAAAAAAAUUUAAUUUCUCCAACGACUCGGUCGAUGACCCCGGCUCUUAUCAGUGGCGGAAAAAACAGCCAGAAGCUGGUAACCAUCACGAACCCCACGGUGAGCGGCGCCGAAACAGCCCAAUGCAGCCUCCACCGGCCUGAAAACAGUGACUUGAGACCAAUCUCCACCACCACGCACAGUCCAUGCAGUACAAAGAAGCACGUCAUUUCCCACGAGGGGCUCGCACGUAUGACGUAGUAGAACAACAACUCGUGCACCAAACCGGAUACCACAAACGUCGCCACCACCGCCGGCAGUGGCGACAACUGUCUGCUGACCACCUUCUCCGCCGCAGAUUUCAUGGGCUUAUAUACUAUUUGGCGCAGCAGAUUCGUUACCAUGAGGUUCCACCUCCGUCCCCAGAAGUCUUGCAGGGAAGUUGACAAAUACGGCUCGUCCGACGGCUGCUCCACCUCCAGCCCCACCAUGGACUUCACCAGUGAGUUGCAAAGACUGAAAACAAUCUCUAUAAACAGAAAAACUUGGCAACAAAGCACGCCCAAGAAGAUAUUGGGGUGUAUUAGCUCUUUAUAGUCAUACAACCCGAUGAAAAGACCAAAACCCAAAACUUUGACUGCAAAAUUCAGAGGCAAUUUCGGGGGUUUAUAUGGGUGUUGCUGAUUUUGCUUGAUUUUGAUGGGGAGACAAGCAAUGAUGAUGAAGAUGGGGAGAGACUUUGGUCGGCCGGUGACGAGAGGGCCUAAAUCAAAGGAUAAGAGGGCGAGUUUGAAAGUAGCGAGCCAGGAUAUGAACAAGGCGGUGAAGCCGGAGAGAAGAAUGGAUGAGAAAAGGGAAGGAAGGGUGACAAAAAUGGAAAAGAUUGGGAGGAGAGAAAGGAGUCUGAGCUUGCCUUUGGGGAUUUUUGAGACAAUGAAAUAGGCGUAGCAGAGAGAUGCAAGAACAGAGAGACAUACCGUGAUCAAGCUCCUGAUAUCGCCUUCCAUUUUCACUAGAUUUUUCUGCUGUUAGAUCUUUUUUAUGGUGUCAAUAUAUGCUUUUGGAGUGUGGAUGGAAGGUUGGGUCUGUUGAUCACCAAUGGGGGAGUAGACAAUGGCGUCUGGGCCUCUACUUUCUUGUCAUCUCUUUUAUGGAAUCGCCUUUCUGACCCUCGAAUACCCUCUGUCGGAGAACUUUAUUCUUGAAAUGAAAAUCCUUCCAUAUUUUCCGGAUUUAACCUCUUGUCAGAAAAUCUCUUCUUUCUCAUGUAAAAGAUAUGUAAUAAAAUUACACUUUUAUUUUUAUUUUUUAUUUUCAUUUUACAAAUAUUAUGUAGAAAAAAAAAAUCAUAACCAAAAGUUAUAAAAAUAAUGUAUAAAAUAUGUAAAAUCCUCAUUAUGAGAACGAGAAGUUAUAUGAGAAAUUACAAAGUUAAACAUAGUUAGAAGUUAUUCAUGUAAUUUUUAAUCUAUUAUAUAAUUUUUAGUUAUAAAAACAAAAUUAUAUAGUCAAAAGUUAUAUAAUGAAUAUUUCACUGUUAUAUAAAUUUCCUUAUUUUUAUUAUGACAAAAUAAUCUAUUUCGUUAAUAUUACUUAAUAUUAAUGCAUUUUUUAAUAUAUUUAUAAUAAUAUUAUAGCAAUAAGAUAUUGCAAAAUCUUAAAUCAUUAUAUUUUUAUCCAUAAAUAUUACUUAAUUGGUAAAAUAUUGCUAGAUAAUUUAUUCAUUUUUGUAUUUCAAUAAAUUGAAAUAUUAUUCCAAUUAAAUUAUUUCAUAUAUAGUUUUCAAAUAAUGUCAAACCUUACCAAACUUGAAUUUAUUGCCCUCGAUAUUUAAGGCAAAAACUACUUAUAUUAGAUUGUGAAUGCUAAAAUUCACCUAGAUGCAUCUAAUCUUGGAAAUGAUAUUAAAGAAGAAAAUGAUAUAUGCUCGUGGAAUCAUGUUGAAGCUUUAAUAUUCCUUCAUCACACUAAUGAAGGAUUAAAAUGUGAAUACCUUACCUUCAAAGAUCAUUUCAUCUUUUAGAAUAAUCUAAAAGAAUAAUAUGACCAUCAAAAGAUUAUAAUCUUUCCUAAAGUAUGCUAUGAUUGGAUGUAUUUGAAAUUACAAGAUUUCAAGUUAGUGACUAUAACUCAAUUUUAUUCAAAAUUAACUCACAAUUAAUGCUAUGUGAAGAGAAAGCCAUUAAAAAAUAUACACUUGAAAAAAUAUUUACCACUUUUCAUGCCUCGAAUGGACUUCUAUAGUAACAAUAUCAAAAUAAUUUUUAAACUAAAUAAUAUAAAUUAAUUUCAUGUCUUCUUGUGAUUGAACAAAAUAAUGAAAUUUUCAGUCACAAUCAUGGUAGACACAAUUCUUAGCGCCAUGAUGAUUAUAAUCAUUCUCAGAAUAGAAAAAGCAAUUCAAACUACUACAAGUGGAAUAAUUCAAAAACACAACCUGAAAAAUGAUAGAACCACAAGCAAACAUAGGAUUCUUGAUAAAUAUACUGCAAUUAAAAAAAAUAAUAUUUAAAAUACCAUAGUUUGGAAAAUAAUUCCAAUUCUACGUCACUUUUAAACACGUAGGAUAGAUAUGAAAACCCAUUCCCCCCUUUCCAUUUCCCUUCCCGUUUUUCUUCUCUUCCCUUCUCGUUUUUCUUCUCUGCAUCAAAACUCCUCUGCCCGAAAACCCACUAUCCCACACGCUGAUCAUGAGGUGGAGAUCCUUGCUUCAACACCAAUAGGAAGAAAGUGAAGUACAGAUCUGAGAAACCAUUGCCCCUGGUGUUUUCUGUAAGUUUUGUGGUUAUAUUUGGUGGUGUGGUUGUGUUUGGUCACCGAGAAAGUGUGGGAAAGUUGUAAAAAAAAUAAAGUUUUUGUUUUUUUUUUUACAAUGAAACUGAGUAGACUAAAAAUAAUGGAGAAAGUUUUAAUUUUUUUUGUGGUUUGACUUGUUGUGAUUCUGUUUGGUUGCCAAGAAAGUGUGAGAAAGUUGAAAAAAAAAAUUUCCCAAUAUUUCCUACCAGUCCAGCCCGCGCACAGGGUAUCUGUCCAAUUUUUUUUUAUUAAAAAACAUAAGCUAUUUGGUAAUCUGAUCAUGAUUUGAGGAGAAAGGUGAUCAUGAUUUGAGGGGAAAGGUUGUGUUUUUCAGCGUGGCUCAAAAAUCGUGGAUUUAGGGUUUGUGAAAUUUCAAUCCAAUGGCACAAAAGCAAAGAGACCCCUGGACAGAUCCAGAAAGCACGGAGCAAAAAAAAAACAUUUUUUUGUUUGUUUUUUUAGGGGGUUUUGCAUGGACUUUCCCGGAAAGCAAAUGGGAGAUGGAUGGAUUUUCUUGGGAAUCAAACGGGGAUUGCACAGACUUGGGAAUCAAACGGGGGUUGCAACAAAAUAAAAAAAUAAUAACCUGAUUAGAUUAGUACCUACAAUAAUUGAAAUUGAAAAUUUGUUUUUUUAGGGGGUUUUCCAUGGAUUUUCCCGGAAAGCAAAUGGGGAAUGGAUUUUCUUGGGAAUCAAACGGGGAUUGCACAAACUUGGGAAUCAAACGGGGGUUGCAACAAAAUAAAAAAAUAAUAACCUGAUUAGAUUAGUACCUACAAUAAUUGAAAUUGAAAAUUUGUUUUUUUAGGGGGUUUUCCAUGGAUUUUCCCGGAAAGCAAAUGGGGGAUGGAUUUUCUUGGGAAUCAAACGGGGAUUGCACAAACUUGGGAAUCAAACGGGGGUUGCAACAAAAUAAAAAAAUAAUAACCUGAUUAGAUUAGUACCUACAAUAAUUGAAAUUGAAAUUGAAAUUUAAAUUCAAGGAGACAUUUUCAGUAUAAACCAAUUUUUUAAAAAUUAUGAAAGGUGUCCGAAUAUAAUUCCAUUUUUUUGUAAUUAUGGAAGGUGUCUCUUCAAGAGACACCUUCAGCAUAAAUUCAAAAUUUUCCACUGUUUGAAUGGAAAUUAUGGAAAGUGUCUUUUGAACAAGCACUCACAUUUCACAAUUCCCAAAAAAUGGAAUUAUAUUGAAGGUGUCUCUUCAAGAGACACCUUCUAUUAUUUUAAAAAAAUUGGUUUAUACUGAAAGUGUCUCUUUCCACAAUUUUCAUACAUUAAAGAGAGACAUCUUUAGCUUUAAAAUCAUUUCCACAAAUAAAAUACAUAUUGGAUUUUGUGGAAUUGUGUAAAGUGUCUUUCCAAGAGACACAUUUAGUAUAAAUAUAAUUUUUUGGAAUUCUAGAAGGUGUCUCUUAAAGAGACACCUUUGGUAUAAAUUAAAUUUUUUAGGAAUUGUAGAAGGUGUCUCUUCAAGAGACAUCUUUAGCUUUAAAAUCAAAUUUAUAAGACAUUCAAAUUUUUGAGGAAAAUGUCUUUUCAAGAGACACCUUUAAUGAAUAUUGGAUUUUUUGCCACGUGGAAAGUGUCUCCGCAAGAGACACCUUUAAUACAUAUUGGAUUUUUUGCCACGUGGAAAGUGUUUUUUCAAGAGACACCUUUAAUAUAAAUCAAAUUUUCUGAAAUUGUAGAAGGUGUCUCUUCAAGAGACACCUUUAGCUUAAAUUCAAUUCUUUCAUGAUUUUGAAAAUUGUGGAAGGUGUCUCUUCAAAAGACACCUUCCACGUGGCCAAAAUUGCCGUAAAUCUAUCAAUAUUUUCAAAACUACCAUUUUUUAAUUAUAAUUUUUUAAAAUUGCCGCAAAAGUUAAAAAAGCCCAGCAAACAUACUUGUGAGAAUGAAUGGUAUAAAUGUGGUAUGAAAGAACAUUUGUCAUGUACCUAUCAUACUUAAAAACAUUCGGUUGACAUUUAUUAAGUUUUGAUAAAAGCAAAAAGGAAAGAGGUUGAAAUAAACUUCAUUGAUGGUGGUGAUUGCACAAUGGACUUAACCUAUCUAGAUGUUUCACACUUCUUUGAGAAUCCCAAUGGAAAAAUUGAACAUCUAAUUAGUGAUGGAAAUGUGUGUUAUGAUUAAAUGUUAUGUUCCUAUUUAGUUCUUUGCUAGUCGAUUUACUAUGUUAUUCUCUUUUGAAUAGAUUAUCUAUAGUAUACAUUUUUUACAAUUUAUUUCACAUUUUACUUUUUACAUAUGAUCAUUUCAUAUCUAAAUUUUUUUCUUUAUUUAUAUUUGAAGAUAUAUGGAUCUCUCUUACAUUAAUAAAUUAUAAGACAUCCAUUAUGGAUGCAUGUCUCAUAGAUUACACUAUAAUACACACAAUUCUUCGUUAUAAAAAAUAUUUUUCCAACCUAACAUUAACUAAGUCUAAUGUUAAUAACAUAUCAAGUCCUAUCGACAUAAUUCAAGACUCUGGAAGAGCAACAAUUAUUUUACCUUAUGGAAUUAAAUUCUGCAUCAAUGAUGCUCUUUCUUCUACUAAAUCCAAUCAAAAUCUUCUUAGUUUCAAAUAUAUUUACUAAAAUGGAUAACAUAUUAAAACUACGAAUAAUGGUAGUAAUGAAUAUCUUUUCUUUACUUUAAUUAUUUAUGAGAAAAAACAUAUCUUGGAAAAGCUUCCUUUUUACUCAUGUAGGUUAUAUCAAAUAACUAUUAAACCCAUUAAAUCAUAUGUUCUCAUGAACCAAAAGUUCUAUGACUCAAAAACUUCUAUGCAUUGACAUGAAUGCCUUAGUCAUCUAGGAUACUAUAUGAUGCAUUGUAUCAUUAAAGUUAAUUCUUUUAGCCAUCCUUUGAAGAACCAAAAGAUUUUGAUGCCCAAUGAUUAUAAUUGUGGUAUAUGCCUAUAAGGCAAAUUAAUUAUUAAACCAUCAUUUACUAAGAUUGUAUCUAAAUCCCCAAUCUUUCUAAAAUGCAUUCAAAAUGACAUUUGUUGACCUAUUCAUUCACCUAGUGAACCCUUUUGUUAUUUUAUUGUUUUAAAUAAUGUCUCAAUUCAUUGAUCUCAUGUUUGUCUUCUUUUAACUAGAAUGUUGCCUUCACUAGGUUACUUUUUUUAAUAAUUUGACUUAAGACAAAAUUCCUUGAUCACUCUAUUAAGACAAUUUAUCUUGAUAAUGUUGAUGAAUUCUUAUCUCACACAUUCCUUAAUUAUUGUACAUUAGUUUGUAUUGAUGUUGAGCAUUAUGUUGCUCAUACUCAAAAUGGAUUAGUUGAAUCUCUUAUUAAGCAUUUGCAAUUGAUUGCUAAACCAUUAAUCUUGAGAAUAAAAUUGUCUUUGUCUACUUGGGGACAUGAUAUUCUCCAUGUUCCAACUUUAAUUCAGAUUCAUCUUACAGCUAAUUGUGAAUUCUAACCUUUAAAUCUUACUUUAGGUUAUCAACCAAAAUUUUCAUAUUUACAUAUUUUUUAGUUAUGCUAUCAAUGUUCUCAUUGCUCUAUCACAACAUUCUAAGUUAGGUCCUUAAUAUCGAUUUGGUAUAUAUGUUGAUUUUAAUUUUUCAUCUAUUAUCUAUUAUCUUAAACCCUUAAUAGGUGAUGUUUUCACUACCCACUUUGCGAAUUGUUAUUUUGAUGAAAUGUUUUCUUGUUAUUAUAGAGAGACAAGUGACUGUUAUUCUCUGUUGUCCAAAAUACUAAGCCUUAUAUCUUUAAUCAAUCAUUCAUUCAAUUAUUGAGUUCAAUUUUUCAUUAUUUUCCUGUAAGCCUUAAUCCUAGGUUUUCAUGCUAUACACUCCAAGAGAAUUCUUUAAUCUCUCAUGGGUGUGUUUUCACAAGGACAAUUCAUUAAAGAAAGAUAAAGAACCAUUCUUGAAAAUUAAAUAAAUAAAAAAUAAUAUAUUAAUUAAUAAUAAUGGGAAAAAAAACAAACAAACAAACCAAGAUCUUGACUUCAUCUUUUUCUCUCCAACCUAAAAAAAAUCCAAAAAACCUAAAAAUUAAGUUUUUAUAGUUUCCCCCAAAAAAACCUCACACGUGUUAUGUUCCUAUCGGCCACUUAUUUUACAAAUAAUUACCUAAAAAUAACUAAAUAAUAAUAAUAAAAUCAUUAUUUCUAGUCGUGUGAGGCCCACUUAAGGUAAAUAGAGUGCCUAAGAUGAAAUUCCUGAGGUGGAGGAAGUGAAACAUCAAAGUGAAAGUUUGUGAUUUCAAAAUUAGGGUCAUUUCGAAAUGGAUUUUAAAUUUAUAAGUUGAAUUUUGAAAUCAUUUUGAAAUGGUUCUUCCCACUCUACAUAGUUGUCUUCAAAUGACCAUAACUUCUUUGUUUCACCUUCGAUUUAUGCACUAUUUGAAGUUUUGGACUCCUAACUUCCCAAGCUUCGCAAUGAUGUAUAGUUUGCCCAAAAUUAACCUAAGAAAGUGCUCCAUAUUUUACUUUAAAGUUAAAGUAUGUGUUGUUAAUAGAUUUCGAGUUCCAAAUUUCCAUAUGAACUUGAUUGUAUUUUUUUCAAACCUCCUCUAUUAUGGUUGUUUUCCCUCUAUCUUACUCCAUAACAUCUAUUGCUAGUAUUUCAUACCUAUGAGUUACUCAUCAAACUUUUUCUUGGAUUCUUCGUGGUUCACAAGUCUCGAGUCUCUCAAUUAUAUAUGUUAACCCCUUUUACUUUCUUGGUUGAUAAUAACUUUUGCACUUAUCAUUUUUUUCAUCUUGUAAACCUAGAAUUAGGCUCAAAGUAGAAGUUAGAUCUAUAGUUAGGGUCUUAACAUCAAUUGGAGUUAAGUUGGAGAAUUUAAUUUUUUAUAUUGCAUAAAUCAUAUCAUAUAUGUGUUAUUGAAGCACAUAUUUUAUCUCCAAUCAACAAGUCAAUUCCAAAAGAAUAGAGAGUCUAUAUGUGGAAUGUAUCCUCUUUGUCUCAUCUUGAUUCUUGUAUAAGGCACUGUAAACUAGAAGUUCAAAGGAUUAUUCAGUUUCAAAGACUUGCAAAUUAGUUAUCUAAUGCCUUUACAGAUACAAAAAAAACAGUGAUGAAGUCACAUAUAUCGGAUGUGAAUAUAUACCUCAACCCGUAUUAAUGUCUGAAAAAAUAAAUGCUAUACUUAAUUAAGAAAAACACCCAAAAUUGGGGGGGAGGGGGGGGGGGGUGAAUUGGGUUUUUUAAAAAUGUUUUCAAUCACAACAAGUUCAAGCACAAUAUAAACAAAAUAAAGAGAUAGAGUUAGAGAAUUCAAACUCGGGUUUUAUAGUGGUUCGACACUUCCUUGCCUAUGUCAACUCUCCUCAAUCUCUUAACCUAGUGAGGGUUCCACUAACUUGAAGCUUCAACCAAGCUUCCAAUCUUCUUACACUUGGAUUCCGACUCCAAUGGGCUCUUACACAAUCUCUUCAAGAUUCAAACCUCUUAAAGGCUUUAACACUUAGAUUUUACAAGAAAGAAUCCCUCAACCUAACUUAAAGAUAGCUCAAAUACAAGACAAAGCUAGGAUGACAUACAAGAGUGCACUAAAGGAUAUGCAAGUGAUGAUUUAAUACACUAAGAAAGAAAUGAGAGCUUUUUGGUCAAGAACAGAUAGGUAGACAAUUGAUUGCAAGUGUUCUCUUGUCAAUAAAUGAAGUGGAGCUCUCAAUUUAUAGGUUUCUAAGCUCGGGAGUCAAAAACAGUAAAAGGUAACCUCGAUUGAUCGAGCUAAGAGUCGACUGGUUCACUAGCCGUUGGAGCAUUUAAUGUUUGACAGGUUACUGUUGCCUCGACAGGAUCUCGACCAAUCCUCAACUGGACCUCGACCGAGAAGAGAAAGUCAUUGGGAGAGAGAGAAAGUUUUGUGCAUCCAUCAACCGGUCCUCAACCGGUUGAGACGGUUGGCCAUAAUCUCGACCGGUUAAGCCUUUUGGCCCCGAAAACCUAUCUUUUUCAAUUCCUUUCUUUUCUAACACUUAGGCAAGGUUUUUAGGUGAAUUGUUAUGCCAAUUUUAAAACAUUUUGCCUAUGGUAUAUUUGUUAAAACUCAGGUUUUAAUAAAAUUAAAGUUUUAAAGAAUAAACCAAGUUUUCUAAGUUGCAUGAAACGGUAUGAAAAUCCUAAGUGCACUCAUGCAUUUAUCUUACAUUAGUUUCCUAUGAUCACAAGUCUUCCAAACGUCUCGAUCUUGUAUCUAUUUGGUCAUUUGAUGAAUUUUCGAGUUUAUGCCUGAGAUUCUUAACCAUUAAACCAAUUAGUCAUUUAAUCAUGGUUUAUUAUCAUCAAAACCCGAUUAGGAGAACCCUUGGGCUAACAAUGUCCUUAUAGGAUAAUUGGAAAAUGUAAUGUCAAGUGAAUUUAAGAUAUGCUUGAAGCAUAGUAGAGCUAUUGGCCUAAAUGAUAUAAUUCCUAAAAAAACACAAAAGAAACAACAUAUGAAAAACUUGGUACUCUUGAAAAGCUUAUAAAUAUGAAAGAGUUAAUAGAAAUGAAUUAUGAGACCCAACUUGAUAAAAGGGUAGCCUCUGAAGAUGCAUAAAUUGAGCAAUGGUCCCUUAAAGAAAUAUUGAUACCUAGAACUAACGAGAUCUAAAGGAGUUAUACAAGAGAAACACAAAGGUGUAGUAAUAUUAUUAUUGACAAUAUAUUUGCUUUCCAAGAAGCUAUGUGCAUCAUAAGAAAUGAUGAAGAUCAAAAACCAUAAACUAUGAAUGAAUGUCGAAAAAAAAAAUUAUUGACCAAAAUGGAAAAAAGCAAUCCAAACAGAGCAAAACUUAUUAGCAAAUUAAUGGGUAUUUGAACUUGUAAUUCAAAGACCUAAAAACAUAAAGUCUAUGGGAUAUAAAUAGGUCUUUAUGCUAAAAUGUAACGAGAAUAAUGUAAUCAUGAGAUAUAUACGACUUGUUCUUAAGAUUUCUCGCAAAGACUUUAGACUAUAAGGAAACGUAUUCUCAUAUAAUGGACGUAAUCACAUCUCAAUACUUGAUAAGUUUAAUAGUCUUUGAAGGAUGAGAUGUGUCUCAUGGAUGUUGUUAUAUUUGAUUUAUAUGGAUUUAUAGAUACUAAGAUAUAAUUGAAAAUCUCUGAAGGAUUCAAAUUGCAUGAAGCAACUAACUCAAUACCUCAUAACAUGUACUCAAUCAAACUACAAUGGUCUCUAUAUGGAUUAAAGCACUCUAGGCACAUUUGACAUAAUUGUUUGAGCUAGUAUUUGUUAAAAGAAUGAUAUGUAAAUAAUUCAAUUUAUCCAUAUGUUUUCAUUAAGAAAUCAUAAAUCAUACUUACAAUAAUUGUAGUAUAUAUAGAUGAUUUGAAUCUUAUAAGAACUCCUAAAGGCUAAAAAAAAAAAACCAAUUAUUUAAAUAAAAAAAAUUUAAGUGAAAUAUUUGGGAAAAACAAGAUAUUGUCUUGACUUACGGAGAAAUAUUGUUCAAAUGGUGUGUUAGUUUGUCAACACAUAUAGGGAAGUGUUGAAGCGCUUUUAUAUGGACAAAUUGCAUCUACUCAAUUCCUUCAUGGUUGUCUUUCAUUUGAAGUGAACAAGGACCAAUUUCACCUUAAAGAAGAAAAUGAAAAAUUACACAGUUUAGAAGUAUUAUAUCUUAGUGCAAUUAGUGCAUUGAUAUAUCUUCCAAAUUGUACUAAACCAAGUAGAACCUUCUCUGUUAAUUUACUAGCAAGAAAUAGUUCUAUCCCAACUAGGAAACAUAUAUUGUGAUACUUUUGUGGAACAAGUGACAUGGGCUUACAUUCUUCAAGAGAAUCAACAUUGCAAUUAAUUGGGUAUACAAAUACAUGAUAUCUUUCAAAUCUUUAUAAAGCUCAAUCUCAUAUGAAAUAUGUAUUUACUUGCGGGAAUCAAUGAUGAAAAUAUCGGUAAUUACAGAUAUAUCGGUACUUUGAUUUUACGAAUAUAUCGAAGAUAUACCAAUGGAUAUUUUGACAUAAAAUAUCGAUAAGUCAAAAAUUGAUCAAAAUUCAUGGAAAUAUUGUGAAAAUUAAAAAAAAUGAUAUAAAAAAUAAUAAUAGAAAUAUUAAGGUUGUUUUGUUAUAAAAUUUUUUUUGAUAUAUGUAUAAUAUAAGUUAUGAUAUUGAAUAAUAAUGUUUAUCACUUAAAAACAUACUUUAUGCAUAUUCAUCUAAUUUAGAUGUAUUUAAUGAUAUAAAAGAAAUGAUAAUAAUUUGUAUAAGUAUUUUUUAUUUUAAACUUUUGAUAAUUUUAUUCAUAAAUUUAUAUUUAUUUUGUAUUUAGUUAUUAUAUAAAAGACAUAAUAACCAAAAUUAAUUUAUUUAUAAUAAUUUUAUUCUAAUUAAUUUAUAAUAUAUAUAUAUAUAUAUAUAUAUAUAUAUAUAUAUAUAGUUUAUAAUGUAAAUAUAUAUAUAUAAAAUUCAAUUCAUUAUAUACAACGUGGUUGGUCGAUUGGUACGUAGUAGUGGUGCUUGUGAGUGUUAAGUCAAAUGAUCAAGUCCCUUGGCCUCCAAUACCCUUUAAUUUUUGGCUUGCCUUUUAAAAAUUCAAUCUUUGCAAUCCCACAUCGGUAAUUGAUGAGACAAAAAAUGUCUAUUUAAGCGGAGAAUUCAUGAGACACCCCCAAGCGCAUAAAGCGUGUAGAGUUAGCAGUUUCGUUGUGUAAUAAGCUUAUGAGUUGAGCCCAUUUUACAAUUUUUGAAUCAAAAAAUGAAAAGGAAAUAGUCGGUGAUAAAUCAGUGAAAUAUCACCUAAAAAUCAACGAACAAUUCAUGAUGUCACCGAUUUAUUGACAAAUACCGAUAUAUCGUCAAUAAAUUUCUCCAACUCGAUAUAUCAAUAGCUUAUAUUGUGUCGUUGAUCGUCGAUACACGAGAUUUUGCCAAUAUAAAUGGAUAUUUUCGUCCUUUGUUGUAAUAUCAUGGAAAUCGAUUAAGCAAAAAAUGGUUGUCACUUCCUCAAAUCAUUUAGAAAUAUUGACAAUUCAUGAAGCCAAUCGUGAAUGUGUACAAUUACGAUCUAUGAUCAAGUAUAUUUGAGUGUCAUGUGAAUUAUCUGCUAUUCAAGAACCAUUUAUCUUUCUUUGAAUCCUACAACACAAGUCAAGAUAAUUUAGGUACUUAUAUCUUCUUGGGUCUUGGGGGUUAGUGUUCUUCGAUUUUGCAACCCAAACUUUUUUGCUUUAGCAUUUUGAGAAAUAUUUUUAAGUAGGCAAGUGCUACUUAUGUAACCUCUUCUUUCACAAAGUUACAAAUAGUAGAGGACUUUGUACUAGAUGCCUCUUUGACAAAAUAAUUUUUGAAAUAUUUUUUGUUCUUGAUUGACUUUUAGCCUGACUUUUUUUUUUUAUCAAAAAUAUAUUUUUGGCUAAUAAGAAUCAUCUCAAUUUGUUUUUUGUCCACAAGAAAGGUUCGAGAGAGAAUGGGUCAACCAAUCAUUUUUUUUAAGGUAAAUCUUUUUUGUUUCAACCUUUUCAAAACUUUUUUGCAUAUCCUUAAGUUUAUCUUCAAGAUUUAGGACUUUCUUUUUAAUAGAAACAUUUUUUAACCUAAGUUUUUCAAGAUCACCAUAGAGUUCUUCAAAAUCUAUUCGCAAAUUCUCACAACUUGGGUUAAAAAUGACCUCAUCCUAUUCAUUUAUAGCCAUGAAGCACAUGUUGACUACUUCAUUUUCAUUUUCUUCUUCUGUGGGGUCUUCUUCAUUAUCACAAUAAAUAGAUACCAUAACUUUCUUUUUUCCCUUCUUAGCUUCAUUCUUGUAGAGAGGGUAACCAUACUUGAUAUAUUUGAGUUUUUUCGUACUGUUAUAGCAUAUCAAUUCUUUUUUUCUUUUUUCUUUUUCAUUUUCACUAUUUGAAGACUCUUUUUUUAAGACCUUUUUUUUUAAGACUCUUUCUUUGGUUGAAAUUUAUUCUCUUUUUUCUUCUUAAAUUUGAUGAAUUUUUUUAACUUAUUUACAAUGAGAGCAAGAUCCUCAUCUUCUUCACUAGCUUCAUCUUCUUCAUCAACGAUAGAGGCCUUGAGAGUAAUGUUCUUCUUCUUUUUGUCUUCCACUUUUUGAUGACUCUUUAUGGUAAUUUCAUGAGUCAUCAAGGAUCCAAUUAGUUUCUCCAAAGGAAACAUUGAGAGAUCCUUUGCUCCUUGAAUAAUGGUGACUUUGGUCUUCUCUUUCUUUAGUAGAGAUCUUAGAAUUUUCAUCACUUUCACUAAUUCUCCAUAAAUCUUUCCUAAUGUUUGAAGUCCACUGAUGAUAUCAAUGAACCCAAUGAACAUCUCAAUGAUAGAUUCAUUAUCCUUCAUAGAAAAUAACUCAUAACCAUGCACAAGAAUAUUAAUUUUAGAUUCUUUGACUUGAUUAGUUCCUUUAUGAGUUAUUUUAAGUAGUCUUUAAAUAUCCUUAGCAGAUUUACAUCGGCAUACAUAAUUAUACUCAUUUCCAUUUAUUGCACAAUGUAAAUAGUAAAUAGCCUUUGCAUUUAAUUAGCUUUCUUUUUGUCAAACUCAUCUCAUUCUUAGCUUGGUUUUGGAAUAACUACUUCAUUCUCAAUUUUUGGUUAAACAUGGGGGCCAUUUUGAAUUAUAUAAAAAAUAUCAUAAUCAAUGGAUUUGAAGAACCAUGUUAUUCUAGUUUUCCAAUAUGAAUAAUUGGUUCUCAAAACAAAUGGAGGUUGAUUAAUAAAAAUAAAAAUAAACCCUUCUAUAUGACAUCAUUUGAAAAAAUUAAUCAUAUCCUCUUAGAUAGUUAAUUAUAUAUAUAUAUAUGGCCUAAUUCUGAUACCAAUUGUGAAAAAUGAUUAAUUGGGUUAAAAAAAGUCAUUUAAGAAGGGAGGUGAAUUGGGUGAUAAAAACUUUUCAAAAAUGUUUACCCAAAAGUAAAGAACAAGUAAUUGACAAGCUAUAUAAUAGCAAAAUAAGAGAAAUUGAGGGAAAAAAAAAGUGCUAACUCCUUUUAUAGUGGUUCAAUAAUUCAUCUAUAUCCAUUCUCCUCAAGUUCUUAUCUGAGUAAGGGUCCACUAUCAAGGCUUAUAGUACAAGCCUUCAAGUUUUACAAUUGGAUUCACCGACUUCAAUAGGUACUACAAAGUAUUCUACCAACUUGAAGUUUCUUCACUCAAAAUUAAUAAGUAAUAAAGGUUUUAAUGCUUCUAAUCCUAAGGCAAAUAUUGCUCACAUUACAAGAGAAAAACUAUAAUAGAUUUUAAGGUGCACUCAAGAAUAUGCAAGUUAGAAUUCAAUGCAUUUUCAGAGAAAAGCUUUAAAACUAAGAAAAUGGAUGUCUUUCAAUUCAAUAAUGAUGAUAUUCUCUACUCAAUAAAUGCAAUAAGGCUCUUCAAUUUAUAGAAACAAGCUCGGACACCCAAAAACACAAAAGUACCCUUGAUCAGUCAAGUUCCAGUUUGAUCGAUUGACUAGCCAUUAGGGCAUUUUAAGGUUCAACCAACCCUUGACCAAACUAAGAUUGAAAGAGCCAAAACCUCAAUCAGUAUCACACUAGCUAUUGGAAAAGAAAAAAGAAAUAUAUGUACCCUCAAUCAGUCCUUGAUCAAUCAAGCCCAAUAAGUUGAGUCGAUUCCUCAACUGAUUCGACUGAUUCAAUUCACCUUCAACCGAUUGCACCUAAAAUGACAAAAACUUUCAAUUUGAAGUUCCAACCUUCCAACAACUUGUAUAAGCCCUUUUAAAAACUUUUUAAGACAAUUUCAAAGGUUUUGGCUCAAAGUUAUGAAUUAAAACAAAGAUUCAUCUAAUUUCAUAAUAAAACAUCAUUUUUAAACUUAAAUAUGGAUGAAAAAAUUAGCUUUGAAGUGUAUGAAAAAAGUUUUGGACCUAAGUGCACCAUAUAAUAUCAUUUUAGAAAUUUCCUAGAACACCUUAACUCUUCAAGAGAUUCAAAUCUUCAUGCCAUUGAUGAUUUUUUUUCAUAGUUGUUUAAGCUUAAUUUCUUUAGAAUUUUGCCUUAAAACUUAAAAACUUUACUUAAUUUAAAACGUUAGUAAACUUAACCUUGUUUUGCAAUCAUCAAAACUUGAUUAGGAAAACCCUAAGACUAACAAUGUAGUUGUUUUUAUCACACUUAAUAGUAAGUGCGAGGCUAAUUUUGAGAUGGAAAAGAGGUUUGAACAAGAGAAGAGCUUAAGCUCCAAUGAGCUAAUUUUGGGGAUUAUCUUAACCUAGUAUUUAGGAAAUUUGAGCAUAAAAAAUACUUAUAGGAUUAGCAAAGAAAGAUUUCUCAAAAACAUUUCCAAUGGUGGCCAUUCAAAUCAAAUAAAGGGCGCUCUAAUACCAAGAUAAAUUUCAAGAAGAAGCAAAUGAGAGAAAGAAGAUGUUGAGAAAGGAAUAUUUCUCUAAAUAGUUCAAAAAUGAGCAAAAACAAAGACAUAUCGCAGUACAAGACAAAAAAGAAAAAAUUAGAAUGAAAGCUUCUAAAGAUUGAUGUACUUUGCCACAUAGUUCAUAUGAAUUAGAUUAUCUUUCAAUUACAUUUUUUGAUCUAAUUAAGGAGAGUUUCAGUCUUUAAGAUCAAACCACUGUUAAUUUAUCACAUUUUCAAUCACCAAUUAGAUUGCAAUUAGCCUAGAAUUGACCAUCUUCUUCUCAAUCUUAUUUUUCACUCAAGUACAAAUUCAUAUUGACAUCAACUAACAAGUUUGCAUUCAAUUGAUCAAAUAUGUUCUUAAUAGGUCAAAUAGACGAUAUAAGCAUCUAUUGAACAAUCUAAGCAUCAAUUGUACUUUAUUAUAGUGACUUACUAGAGAAUAUUCAUAGACCAAAACAAAGAAAUUGAAAAUAUUAGAAAAUUUUGAUAUUUUUUGCCCCUGCAUUGUUAUUGGUUUGGCUAAAUUUGAAAUUGAAAAUUCUAAUAACAACCAAUAUAUGCUAUCAAUUUAAGCAAUUCCUUGCCUAUGUCCUCGUUUUGCCAUUUGUAAGCCUUUCAUUUGCUUUUCAAUUCCUCAUUUUCAUUAUCAUUCCUCAAAUGUAUUUUUGAAAAUACCUAUUCCUUCGAUGAGUAUAUCUUAAGUCUCAUUUAUACAAUUCAUUCAUAUUUUUCACAUUUCUUGUUGUAGAAUAGCAUUCAUCAUGUCUUGUUGCAUUAUUUUAAUUCAUGUAUUUAUUAAUUAAUAAAAUAUCAAAGUUUUGUCAAUUUAGUCAACAUCGGAUUCAUUUGGGUUAUGUUUAAUUCUUAGAAAGUACUAAGAAAAAUGUUAAAAAGAUCGCAUGUUUAAUUUUGCCAUGAAAAAUACGUAAGAAAGUUAAAUGUAAUUAAUAUUAGUAAAAAACUUAAAAAUUAUUUCAUCUUUAUAUAAAAAAAUUAAAUAUAUUAAAUAAGUUUGAUGGAGGAUAAAAAAUAAUUUAUUCACUUUAAAUCUAUUUUUUACUUUUUCUUUCGUAUUUUUCCUCAAACUUCAUAGAACCAAACAUAAACCUUCAGAUUUAGUGGGGUGUUCUGCAAAUCUGUUUUUUCAUUUUUUUAAAUCAGAUAGUUUUUUUUUUUCUUUUUAAAACAAAAUUAAUAAGUAACUCCAAAAACAAUAAAACAAAAUUAAGAGGUUCCCGUGGGAUGCGCCAUGGCAAAACCGGACAAGGCGUCGCCGGUGAGACAAUAGAGAAUGAAACCAUAGCUGGCAUCAAGGCAUGUAGUGACUAGCGGCCGGCAGAUUACGAAGUAUUGGUUGUAGCAUUACUAGGUAUUUGCUAUCGUGCGAUGCAAAUGCAAAAUGGAUCAUUAUGAAUGUUGUCCAUGGAAAAAGACGUAGCAUGGUGCUUCGCUGUUAUCAUUGUCUUUGGUAUUUUAGCAUUCAUUAGAGUUGUAUUUUGAUCAUUGAGCUUUUGGAUUAAUUCCUUAAUUUGUAGUUCAAACAACACCCAACACCCAGCCUUCGAAUUCUUUAAUUCAUGUAUGAGCCCAAAUAAUUGAAAUUGACUGGUUAAUCUUCCCACACUGCACCUAAAUAUGAAAAUUUAUAACAUUGUUGUAUGAAUCCAUCACUUGUGUCUGCCAGAAAGAUCAAAUAAGAGAAGCUGCUCCCUUGUUGAGUUGAGUAGUGGGAGUAGUGGGAUCUUUUCCCUCAUAGGCUCCAACAAGACUUUUACUUCUUCCAUGACUCUCAUAUCAGCACCGGCUCUGAUCAGCGGUGGGAAAAACAGCCAGAAGCUGGUAGCCACCACGAAGCCCACGGUGAGCGGCACUGACGCCGCCCAGUGCAGCCGCCACCGGCCGGAGAACACUGACUUAACGCCAACCUCUACCACCAAGCACACUCCAUGCAGCACAAAGAAGGACGUCAUCUCCCACGACGGGCUCACACGAUUGACGUAGUAGAACAGCAACUCGUGCAUCAAACCGGACACCAAAAACGUUGCCACCACCGCCGGGAGCGGCGACCAGCGCUCGCUCAUCACUGUCUCGGCUGCCGACUUUACGGGCUUGUAUACUGUGUGACGCAGCAGAUUCGUUACCAUGAGGUUCCACCUCCGUCCCCAGAAGUCCUGCAGCGAGGUCGACAAGUACGGUUCAUCAGACGGCUGCUCCACCUCCAGCCCCAUCGUGCAUCGCACCAGAGCGCUGCAGAGACUGAAAAGAACCUCGAGGAACAGAAAAACUUGGCAACAAAGCAGACCCAAGAAAAUUUUGGGGUGUACUAGUUCUUUAUACUGAUAAAAUCCGAUGAAAACCCCAAAAGCCAAGACUUUGACUGCAAAAUUAAGGGGUAAUCUUGGGGGUUUAUGGGGUUCUUGGCGAGACGGAUGUUGCUGAUUUGGCUUGAUUUUGAUGGGAAGACAAGCAAUGGCGAUGAAGACAAGAAGAGACUUUGGUGAGCCAGUGGAGAGAGGACCUAAAUCGAAGGAAAAGAGAGCGAGUCUGAAGGUGGCUAGCCAGGUGAUGAAGAAAGCAGUGAUGCCGGAGAGAAUGGCAGUAGAGAGGAAGAGAGGGAGAGCGACGAAAAGGGAGAAGAUUGGGAGAAGAGAAAGGAGUCUGAACUUGCCUUUGGGUAUCUUGGAGACGAUGAAGUAGGAGUAGCAGAGAGACGCAAGAACAGAGAGACAGACCUUGAUCAAACCCUUGAUCUCACCCCCCAUUUUUCUCAACCUUUCUACUGGUGAUGUUCGACCAUAUAUAAAUAGAUAUCCUUUUUUUCUAGUUAGGAAAGUGGGUUAGAUUUGGGAAGCCAUGAAAGAGUCUAGAAUGGCGCCUCUGCCUUUUCUUCUCCAUGGAAAAAUCUGUGACGAGUGAACAUUCUAUCCGCAUAAUUAAAUUACUCUUGAAAUGGAAAGACGUUUUCAUUUUUGUUGGAUUCUGUCUCAUCGAUGGAAAUAAAUAUUAUUAUUAUUAUUGUUAUGAUUAUUAUUAUUAUUAUUAUAUUUAUAAUAUAUUAGAUUAUAUAUUUGAAAAUUUAGAUUAUAUGAGUUACAUUAUUCACUUAAAUAAAUUGUUGAAAGGAGUGAAUAAUGAUGAAAAGAUAUAAAUUCCAAUUGAUAACUUAUUUGAAAAUAAUUUUUUUAUCGUUAAAAAAAAAAGUUAGAUUAAUAGAAAAUAGAAAAUAAUUUUUUAUUCUUAAAAAUAGACCAUAUGACAUUUUUAGAAAAUAUCUUUUAAUUUUUUUGUUUUACAAAAUAAUUAUACAAAUAUGAAAAAUAAUUAAAUAAAACAAAAGUUAUUUUUACAACAUAUUUUAAAAUAUAGAAAACAUAUUAAAAUUAUUUCAAAUUUCUAAAUAGAUAUCAUUAAAAAUUAUUUUUUUAGUAAAGAAAAUAGUUUUUAAGAAGAGUUUUUUAAAACCAUUUUAUAAUGUUUUAUGAAAUAAAAAUUUAUUUGAGAAUUUGAAAUGUAUUCAACAUAUUUUCUCUAUUUUUAAAUAUAUUUUAAAAUAACUUUUAUCUAUAAUCCUUUAUUUUUAAUCUUUCUUCCUAUUUGUAUAAUUAUCUUUGAAAUUGAUUCUCAAAAAAUAAUUGAAAUAUAUUUUUUUGAAAAUGUUAUAUUUCUUAUUCUUAAAAAUAGAAAUUUGCCUUUUGUUUUAUUCUUAAAAAUGUUUUCCUUUUUUUUCCUUUUUUUUUUUCUAAAGAACAAAAAUUGUUUUAAAAAACAAUUGCCUAAAAAGACCUAGGACCUGCUUGAUAAUUAACAGUCUUGAAAAAUAGUUUUUAAAAACAAUUUUUAAAAAUUGUUAUAUAAUGUUUUGUAGAAUAAAGUCUAUUUAAAAAUUUAAAAUAUUUUUAAUAUAUUUUAAAUAAGUUUUAAAAAUAAUUUAUAUGUUUAGUGUUUUAUUUUUAAUCAUUCUACAUAUUUGUUUAAUUAUUUUUAAAAACAACCCUCAAAAGCAAGUAAAAACAACAGAAUAUAAUUAAAAGAUAUUAUUUGAAAACACCAUAUUUUCUAUUUUCUGUUUUUAAUUAUCGAGCGUAUUUCCCUCCUUUAUUUUAAAACACAAAAAACUAUUAUUUAAAACAACCACCGAACAAGCCCCUAACUUUCCUUCUUUUAUGUUUUUUAUAUCUCAUAUACUCAUUUUACAUGUCAUUCAAAUAUUAAAAUAACAUCCUUAAUAUUUUAUUUUUCCACUUUCGAGACAUCAAAUAUUCCCUAAAUAACUUUACAAAUACCAUAGGUCAAAUUUUUGUUCUAAGAAUAAUGCUACAUACAAAAAUAUAAAAAAAAAUAUUUAUGUUAGAAGCAUCUGUUACUGAUUAUGUUUUACUUUUAAAAUGAUAUCAAAAUUUGUAUUUAGAAUAUGGAAUGGUAUCUGGUACGACCUUUCACAAAAUCAAAUUUUAAUAUAAAGUAUUUUCCACUUCCCAGAGCAUAACGUAAUUAUGAAGUUUGGAAUUUUGGAGUGAAAGGCUCACAGUCACAUGUUGGGCAUGGAAACCCUCGCCCGAUACCAUUAGAAGAAGAAGGUGCAAUGUCAGAUUCACAUGCCACAUUGAAAGCCUCCAUCCACCAAAAAUAUACUAAUAAAAUAACAGGCCAUGCCUGCCUAUCUGUAAGACAUAGUCAUCAAAUAAUAUAUCAUUGCAAAUACAAGGACAGUGGCAGUAGCGUUUUCUCCUUGACAAAAUCAAGUAAAAUUGAGUACUCCCCAAUAGUCUUAACAUCCACGUGGUUCCUUAACAGCUGCGGGAAGAACAGCCAAAAACCGGUGGCGGCCACGAACACAACCGUCAACGGUCUGGUGACCGCCGGGGGCAACUGCCACCGUCCUGCUGCAGCCUUCUUGGCCGCCACCUCCGCGGCGGUGCACACCCCUUGUAGCACGAAGAACCACGUGACUUCCCACGUGGGAGUCACUCGCGUGAGGUAGUAGUAAAUUACCUCGUGCAUGAGGCCCGAGACUGUAAAGGCCGCGAGCAUUGCCAGGAGAUGUGAGCACCUGGGCCCAAGUCUACUCGCCGUAAAACCACGGAUGGGAAAGUAUAUGGUGGGGCGCAGGAUACUGCUUACCAUGAGGUUCCACCUACGCCCCCAGAAAUCCUGUAGAGAAGUUGCGAGGUAGGGUUCAUUGAACUGUGGCUCGAGCUCCAGGCCGAUGGCUCGAGCCGGGGCUGCAGCCAGGGCCAGGAUAAGUUCAGCGGCGAGGUACACGUGGCAACAGUAGAGAGCUAAGAUGACGUUUGGAUGCAAAAAUUGUCUGUACUUGUAGACCUUCAACAAUGCAGCUAAAGCCAACGCUUUGAUGAGAAAGGCGACUUUCUGGCCGGUUUUGGAAUAUGGACUUGUAAUUUUGUAGGAAUUGGGAUAUGGGUUUUGGCUGAUUUUGAUAGGGAGGGAGGCAGUGCAGAUAAAGUGGAGGAGGGGCUGUGGUGGUGAAAGGGGGCCACGGCCGAAGGAGAAGAGGAGAAGUUUGAAGUUGGCGAGCCAAACAAGCAAGAAGGCGGUGAGGCCGCAGAGGUGGAAGGCGGAGAGGUGGAGAGGGAGGGUGGUGAAGAGGAAGAUGAUGGGGAGGAGAGAGAGGAGUCUGAAGAGGCCUUUGGGGAUGGAGGCUGAGAUGAAGUAGCAGUAGCAGAAAGAUGCUAUGGCUAAGAUCCAUACAUAGCCGAAGCUUUUCAUCUCACUGUUCUCCAUCUUUGAGCCUUUCUUCGAAAGCGCAGAUCGUUCAGCGAUUUGAAUUAUCACAGCUCACAAGGCAUUCGAGCUUCUUCUUUUUUUUUUCUUUUUUUUUUGCUUUUUUCUAAUAAAUUUAUUCUAUAUUUUCCUCCCCUUAAUCAUUCACCAAAGUCAUUUAAGAUCAAUGGUCACAGAUCGAAAAGGAAAAUUCAUGUAAUGGACAAGUCAAGUUAGGUGGGCUUAUUUAUUAAAAUAAAUAUUUUAUUAGAAAAAUUAGAUAAAUAUCCAGAAUUGAAAAAAUAAUUUACCAGUAUUGAAAGAAUGGUUGUUGUAUUUUUAUUUAUAAUAAAUUAUAAAACUAGCAUCUCUUCUAUAAAAAUUUAAAUUAAUAUAAUAAUAAUAAAUUUAUUAUAAGUGAAUAAAUAUAAAUGGGAAAAGUGGGUUUUAUUCACUAAUUUUAAAAAAUAUAAAAAAAAACUUCAAUUUUAUAAAUUAAUUUUAUAUUCAUUUAUUUAAAAAUAUUUUAAAAUAUAUACAUUUUUUCACAAGCCAAAUAUAUUUUUCUCCUAAAAUGAUCUUUUACUUAUCAGGUUAAUAAUAGCAAUCGACAAUUUCUUUUACUAUGAGAACCUAUUAAAAUAAGAAAUUUUAAAAAUUAAAAAUAUAAUUAAAAUUUUAAAGUUAAAAAUAUAAAAAUAAAACAUUAACUUUUAGCUAAAUGACACUAGUAAAAAAUAUAGAUAUCAAAAAAGAGUUCGAAAUACAAUAAAAAUUAAUAUUUUAUUUUUUAAAGUUUUUUGAUCUUAAUUAUAUUUAAUUUUUUAUUUUUAUUUUUUUUGUUUUAAUUGUAUUUAACUUUUAAAAUUUCUAUUUUAUUAAAGGAAAGAUGAAUGUAUUUAUAUAAUACAUUGUAUAAAAUCAUUAUUAAUUAAAAAAUUAAAAAAUUAAUAUUUAUGACUUGAGCAUCUUAAUGAAUUUUUUUCAAAAUGAUUUAUAUAUAAUAUUAUAUAAGAAAAAAUUUGUAAUAUAUUGAUUUAUAAAAUACUUUUAUCAAAUUAAAAUAAUAAAUUAAUUUUUUGUUAAUUUUAUUUAAUAUUAUCAAGUAAAAUGAUAUUUAAAAAAGGUGUAUAUGUUUUAAAAUAUUUUUAAAUAAAUAAGAAUAAAACUGAUUUAUAAAAAAUUUUAUUUUAUAUUUUAUAUUUUUUCAAAUUAGUGAAUCAAAAUCCCUCGGAUAUAAAUCAUAUUUAAAAAAGAAUCACGUUCUUCAAAGUAAUUAAUGGGCACUGGAACCUAAACGCCAAAUAUGUGUGGAGGCCAUAAUUAGAAUUUGGCUUUCCACUGCCUCGUCAUUCCCAAGAUUCACUUUCACAUGAUGAGGAAAAAAAAAUUCAUUAAAUCUAUUUAUUACAAAAAUAAUGCGAGUUGGGCGGCCACAUGACAUUGAAAAAUGCGACAAAAAGGAAAGUUGACCAACGUAUCAUAUGGCAAAAACAAAGGAAAACAAAGGCAUGUGAAAGAAAAGUUGGCCCAGAGAUGAUUAUUAUCUGCAUAAGAGAAAAGCAGAAGGGUCAGGGAUGAGCCAUGAAAGGUGGUGGAAGUGUUAAGAAUUUCUGCUUCACAAAAUCAACCAAAAUUGAGUACUCCCUUAUGGCCCUCUCAUCUAUGUGAUUUCUCAACAGUUGUGGGAAGAACAGCCAGGCAGCCGUCACACACACAAAUCCAAUCGUCAGCGGCCCGGAAACUGCCCGAUGCAGCCGCCACCUACCACCCAAUGCCUUCUUCACCACUACCUCGGAGACGGUACACAAGCCUUGAAGAACAAAGAAGCCGGUGACCUCCCACGUGGGGCUCACACGCGUUAUAUAGUAGUACAAUGACUCAUGCAUGAGACCCGACACCAAAAAUGCCGCAAGCACUCCUGGCACCGGGGCCCACUUCUUCCCUAAAAUACGCGUACAAAUACUUCUCACUGGGUCGUAUACAGUCGGCCGUAGAAUGUUGGUGACCGAGAGGUUCCACCUACGACCCCAGAAGUCUUGCAGAGAGGUGGUCAGAUAGGGUUCAUUGAAUUGUGGCUCCAGCUCAAAGCCUGGUAUGGCACGGGCUGGGAUUGCGGCCAUGGCUUGAACAAUUUCUAAGGCCAGGUACAUGUGGCAGCAGUAGAGGAAUAAGACCACGUUUGGAUGCAGAUGGCGUUUAUAGUUGUAGAUCCUAAUCAGGAUAGCAAAAAGCAAUGCUUUUAUAGCCAAUAGAAGUGGCCUAGGCAAUUUCAUCACAAUUUCUGAUAAGGGGUCCGUGCUGUUUUCAGACACUGAAUGUGAUUUUGGAGAUGGGACAGUCUUGAUCUUAAUAGGAAGACAAGCAAUAGAAAUGAAGCGGAGGACAGAUUUUGGGGGGUGUGAUGGGAAUGAUAAAGGGCCAUGGCCGAAGGAGAAGAGGAUAAACUUGAAGUUGGCAAGCCAAGCAAGGUAAAAGGCUGUGGUCCCAACAAGAUGGGCGGAGGAGAGGUUCAAGGGGAGGAUGAUGAAGAGGUAAAACAUGGGAAGAAGAAAGAGGAGCCUGAAAAGACCUACCGGGAGGCGGACUACAAAGAAAUAACAAUAACAGAUAGAGCUGAUAGCUGAGAUCCAUACCUUGAUCAAGCUUUUUAUCUCACCAUCCAUGUCUCUGCCGCCCGUCUCUUCUUUGAUGGCUUUAUGUUGCAUAAAACACAAUCCACCUGUAAGAAGUCACUCACGCAAGUAUUUUAUGUAAUAGACUCGGUUAAGACAGUAGAGAGGCCCUAGAAAAAUGAUCAUGAAGGGGACCCUCCAGAAAAUUUUAAACCCCCCAACACUUCUCUCUCACACAAAUUAAAAUGAUGCCUAAACUUAUAGAUAAGAAGCAUUUUUAAAUUCUAUAACUUAAGGAUAGUGUCAUAGUACUACUAUGCACAGCUACAUAUAACAGGAAUCCAAAGCUCUAACCAGCAUCAAACAGUAGAGCAUACCUUUCAACAUCCUACAACAUUAAUGGUCAAAAAACGGAAUCAUUAAAAGAAAUAUGGUGGCCUAUCUACUCAUUGAGCCAACCAGAUGAGUUUUGCUUUGAAAAUGGGUGAUGAAGGCCCGGAGCAAAGCCCAUUGAAUCAGCUUGGAAUCCAGGUCGGGGGGGUGCAAGAGGAUCAUAGAUGUUAUUUCUAAUUGGCAUGGGCCGUUCAUAUCCAAAAGAAUUCAUCCUUGUGUGGUUUAAUUCAUCGAGUUGAGGCGCAUAUCGCUGCAUUGCUGAUGUGUUCAUCCUACUGUAAGAUGACUCCGCUCCUGAACCUGGAUGCCCAUAAGUAGAUGGAAAUGAACCCAUUUGGCCAAACCGGGGAUCCUGACCAGCUAAAUAGUUGCUCCUCUGAGACAUACCAAUGGGAUCAUGUAGCCCAUAAGAUUGAACUUGUGAUCGUAUAUCUGCAUUCCUUCCAUACUCAUCUCUGUCUCGGAUGCUAUGCCUAUAACCAAGGUUGUCAAUGCUGCCUCUCAUGUAACUGGUAAAUGGUUCCUCUGAGUUCCUAAUUCCAUAAUCAAGGCCAGGACUAACACCAGUUGACCAUCUGUGGAUCGUACUAGAAAAAGGUUCUUCACUGUCCAGCCUGUACCUCCUUGCCAUGUCCUCUGGAAUGCUAGCAUGAGACCCACCAUAUCCUGUUCUCUGUAAACUUGAGUCAGGAACACCAGGCUGGAAAUGUGGAUAAACUUCCUCGCCAACCUCCACAGGUGAGGACUUCUUGAGGGCUUCAGGUUGGUGAAUGUCCACUGUGGACCUGGCAUCACUUGCACGAGGUGAGGAAGUGCAAGAAGUUCCCUUGCACAUCUCACUCACAGGUGUCAUUAUCUGUUUGUCAUCUGAUAUAUUCUCUGUUCUUUUUUCAUGCUUCCCUUUACCAUGCCUCUGUUUUGAGUUCUCAUUGAGAAGCUUCUUCCCAUGGUCUUCUCUGUCAACACCACUGUGAGGAGAACUUUCUACACGACCUGCAGUCACAAUUUCUCUUCUUUCUUCGUGUUCAAGUUCAUGAUUUUCCACUGAAUGCUCAUCCAGCAUCAUGGAGACAUGACCAGAAUGAGUCUGAUCCGCCAUUGGAUGAUCAAGGACUGGCUCUUCAUUCUGAAUUUUUUCCAAAUGUGACACUCUGCGUCGCCUGGAAACAUGGCCACACUUUUGAGCAAUGGCCCUGUGUUUAGUAGUCCAAUCUUGCCGGCUCCAAAGGUAGAGUAAUGGUGGGUUCACAUUCCAUUGCUCAAUUUGUUUGUCAUUUACAUCAACAGAUCCAGGCAAAUAAAACGACUGAAAGAGAAGAAUACACCAGCAUCAACCACCAAAACAUAUUUGUAUUUUGAUGAAUAUAGUUCAACUUCAGCUAUAAAGAAAUUGUGAACUUAGUAUACCUUGCCUGAGAGUUCAUUAUCAUCCUCCCAAAUCAGAUCAUAUGGUGGUCUCUUUUUAUCUAGCCUGGUGAAGGUAGAACACAUCAGAAAGGGAGGGAGGAAAAGAGAGGGAUUCAGGAAUAAUUGAAAGCCACUACCUUUCCGUUUCUGGGGGAACAAUAAGAAUAAGGAGUUUUGGUUUAAACUGAAGAGCUUUAUUAAUAAACAUGUUUGCCAGAGACGCUUUAACUCCAAAGGGAGGAUUUAGCCCCAUGAUCUACAAGAAGCAGCAAGAACAAAGAAAUGUUGAAGCAAUUGCCAAUAGGGUAGAGAAAUCCAAACACCAUACUCUUUAUAAUGAAUACAAGCUUUUAUUUCUCACCAAUUGUGACCCUGUAGGUAAUUCCUUCUGUUUAACACUCAUCCAAUCCCUCUUCUCAAAGUUAAAAUCAUUCUGCACAGAAGUACAGAAAGAGAUAAAUAUAAAUAAUACACAGACACAUACAGAUGAGGUGGCACCCAACUAGACUAACAUAAGCAAGUAAUGAAUUUAAUAAUCACUGUAACAAAACUCCAUUUUAGAGUUACAUAUAUGCAAGCAAUGAAUUUACAAUUACAACAAUAAAGCUCACUGCAACAACUUAGCACCAAAAAACUUAACACAUGAUAAUGGAAUAGACCAGGGAAAAAGACAAACACCAACUGCCCUUUUGUCUACAUUUCAUCCCUUAAAGUUCAAAUUAGGGAAUAAUCAAAGAUGAAUUAAAUAUCACAUUCUUUGAGACAUGGGUCACUGGACCAUACUGGAGAGGAUGUCACUUCCGAGGAACAAAAUCUUUUAUGUAAAAACAUCAAGGUUGCAGGUUUACUACAAACAGAAUGUAACACUUGACUAUUAGAUCAGCUAUUCUCAAUUCAACCCCACUAAUCAAAGAACAUUCAAGUUUUUAACAUGUUCAACUUUUAGCUGCUCAAUUUUCCUAAACCCUUACUUGAUGCAGGUCAAGAUCAUUAAAAAGACUAAGCUUUUAUAUAACAAAAGCAAUUGUUGAAUGUCCAGAUCUUGGAGAGUUUCAAGUCAAGUGCCAAAACAAUAUCCAUGGCUAGAUGCAACACUAUGUCCAUGUCUGCAGGUCAUAGUAAAUAAAAGAAAAAUAGGAUGGAGCACAUCAUAGAAAAAUUGGGUGAAACUCAUGUAAUCAGAGCAAUGAUCUAAGAACUAAAAGCAAAGAUCACCUUGGGUUGAAUAACAUCAUAAUUUUUGUAUGAGCACUUCUUCCCCAUCUCCUCAAGCUUUUGUUUCAUCAGGCAACUGAAAUCAUUAGCACCGCAGCAAAAGUCGACUAUCUGUUUAAGAGAAAAUUCAUAAUCCAGUACCCACAUUGAGAAAUCAUAAUAGAGGUAGGGCUCUAAAGAGGCUCAAACCAUUCGAAUUCAGCUUGAGAUUGGCUCAUCCUUAGCUUGUUCAAAUGCAACCCAAAAGGGGGGGAAAAAGAAAAAAAAGCCAAUCUCAAAUAAUAAUUAAGCCAGUUUAAUUAGCUGAACUCAAGUGUUAACAAGCUCAGUUCAAAAAGGUCAUGAGUAACUCGCAUAAUGUUCAUACAUUUAUAUUUUAUUCAAUUAAUUUGGUAUAUGUUUUUAACAUUUUUUUUUGCAAAUUAAUAUAAUAUUUAACAAAAUAGUACUAUUUGUUAGAGCAUACUAUAUACAUUGUGGACAUAAACCUUACAAGUUUCUUUUAGGAAAAUCAGUUGUCUAACAUGGUAUUAGAGCCUCAUUUGACCUGUCAUGCAUCUGAACCUUAUUGCAUGUUUAUUUCCUCAAUUUAUUAAAGCCCAAAAAGAGGCCACCUUGGCUAUGUUUGGGAACUGUUCUAAAGAAUAGUUUUUUGUUUUUGAGAACAAAAAAUAGGAAAACAUGUUUGGUUGUCAAUUGUUACUAUAACAAGUUUCUGAGAAUAGUUCUAAAAACAGAGUGUCUUUUGAGAACAUAUUUAAGUUUUUUUUUAUAGAUAGAGAACAUAUUUAAGUUUUCUAGAGGCUGUUUUAAAAAUAAUUGUAUAUAUACAAAGAAUGACUGAAAAUAAAAGUUAUUUUUAAAAAAUAUUUGGAAACAUAGAAAAUACGUAAAGAACAUUCCAAGUUCCCAACCAAACUUUUAUUUUGGGAGAAUAGUUAUUUUUAAAAUUGCUGUUAAAAACUGUUUUCAAAAACGUUCCCAAACAAGUCCUUUAUUUCCCCAAUUUAUUAAGUCCGUGUGUAUAAAUAAGCCUAAAUAAGACUACACAUGAGGGAGGGUAUUAGAGCACACAAUAUACAUUGUGGACCCAAAUCUAACAAGCUUAAGUUUUUAGUUAAAUUGGUUGUCUAACAAUAUACAUACAUACAUUUAUAUAUAUAUAGUAAAAUCUCAAUAAAUAAAUGUUUAAUAAACUAAUAAAAUUUUGUGGCCCCAACUCGAUUUAGUGUACUAAAUUAAGAACUUCAUUAAAUGCAUAAGAUAAUAAUUUUUUUAGAAAUUCUUAAGGGCCCAAGGAAAUAUAAAUUAAUAAUUAAUGAAAAACAUAUAAAAAUAGCAAACAAAAAUUCAUAAUACAAUAUUAAGUAACCUUUUUCAACUUCCAUUGUCUCAAUUCAACUCUCUCUCAAAAUAUGGAUCUAAACUUGUCUGUCUUUUCUUCAUACCUAAACCGAACUCAACCUCAUCCUUAAUUUUUUGCAAUGCAUGUACUACCUAGUAUUUUAGUAGUCUCUUAGGCUUCUAUGUAUUAAAUUUUGACUACAUUUUAGUGUUUUUAAUUUAUAAGUCAUACAUGUAUAAGUGUUGUAAUAAAAACAUAAUGCUCGCUCUGUAUUAAUAAAUAUCUAUGUAUCAACAAAUUAAUAAAUUAUUUUUUAUUAAUAAAUCAAUAACCCCAUUAAGAUAAUAAUUUUUCUCAGUCCCCAGAUUAUUAUUCUAUAGAGAUUUUACCAUAUAUAUGAGUGUGUAAAAAUCAUAUUCUUAAUUUAAAUAUUUAACAAAUUUAUAAUGUGUAAAUAUUAUUAAUUACAUCAACCAUACAAAAGAAAGCAUGAUAAUAAAUCAAAUAUAUUUUUCAAUAAGCAAGCAAAGAAAUAUAUUACAAGCGUCUAGCAAAAGGGCACACUGAAACACAUAGAACGUAUACAAGGGCACCAAAAGGCCAGAUAAUAAAUAAAACACGAUGAUGCUUUAGUAGUAGAGAUUUUCCAUUUUUUUUAAUUAAGGAAUCAAAUGCUCAAAUCAUUUUUUAGCCUUCAAAAAGGGCUAAUUUUCUAGUUUUAAACUUUUACUUGAGUUUGAACUUUAACUCAUCUUUCAAUGAGCCAAGUUGAGCUAAACUCAAGCUUACUUAAAAAAAAUGUAAGCUUGAGCAAAGUGCCUCAAACUUCUGCCAAGCUCAAGCCAAGCCCAAUAACCAAAACAAAUGAAAUGCAAAUCAUGUAAGGAGUAAAAGUACUUACUGUGUCACCAUUUUUUACAUAAUAAUGGAGCUUCUCAACAAUCUGCACAUUGGAAAUCAUUCUUUUAGGAUCACCAAAUUUGGAUGUAAGUGGAAAUUUGUACUCAAUUUUUAUAUAAGGUAGAAAGUCCAAAUCCAAUAAUGGGGGAAGAAGAAAAUGUAAUGAGAACAUAAUAUAACUAGAGGAAGAUUCUCUAUUCAAAUAUGAGCUCUUGUUGAAUCAAAGUCACUAGUCAAAGAUCAAAGUACCAAAAUGCUCACAGAAGCAACCUUGAAAGUUAAGAACACAAGUAUUAUCAGAAGUCUCCAGUUCUAACCAUUAGAAACUAUUAAUUUGAGAAUUGAAAAUUAUACUUAUCUCACACAAAAUUGAACUAAUUCUUUUCGAAACUGAUCAGAUUAUACUACAGUUCCAUAGAAAAAGACAACUCCAAUGGGCCCGAAUUCCCAACCUCUAACAUGAGGUUACUUGGGAGCCUCCAGUUACAAACUGAGCCACAACUCAGUGGCAACCAGCAAAUUACAAAUACCUAACAACUUUUUCAAACAAAAGUUCGAAUGGAAUGUUUAGUGAAGGAGGAAAAAAAAUAAGAAAUUGAAAUAGCUUACAUCAUUUCUGAUCAAAAAAAAAAAAAAAAUAGCUGUCAUCGUUAGAUUUCACUUCAAUUUUUUUACCAGAACAAUAGCAUUACUAAUUAGUUCUUAAGCUAAGCUUUUAAACUUGCAAAGCGCAUAAAUGGAGAGUUUUUAGAUGCAGCAAAUCUUAAUCUGGAUGUUAUUAUUUGAAUGACCAAUGCCCACGAGCAUUUGAAACAUUAUAUGACAGAAUAAGAGGUUGUGCUGGCUGCUGAUAGCUCCUCCACACUAACUCCAUAGGCUACAAUGACAAAUAGCAUACCGCCACAUCAAAUGAUAGCCAGGGAGCCUCCAUCAUCGCAUGGGGAAGGAACAUUCUAAUAAGGUAGUAUUGGACACAAAUGUACUUAAGAAGAACCCUUUUUGCUUCAUAUCAGAAAAGUGAAAGUGAUAAACGAUUGUUGCUUUCACCUGACAUGGUUUUCCAUCACUGCGGUUGAUAAAAUAACCUGAGGAAGGUUACUGUAAUUUUAGGAACACAAGUGUAGGUAGCUCUGUGUAUCAAAACCUGAGCAGAUAAGUAUAAUUCACCCUCCAUUGAGUGGAGGUGAGGUAGGACAAUGUGAAGCAAUACACUGCAUUUGCUAACUGCAUAUCCUAACUACCAAGUCCUCUGUGUAGAAAAAUCACUUUUGAGAAAAUAAACAAGUGCCUUGGGUGAUGCAUGAAAUUCCAACAAGAUACAGUGUUGAUUGGGCAUAAAAAUGAGUUGAACUAACAAUAUGUAUUUUAAAGGAAGAAGAUUACAGGAAAAAUGAAAUCACUAUAAAUUAAAUAUAUUAAUCAAAAAUUUUGUUUUUCUCACUACAGAUGUUAGGAUAAAAAUAGUAUAAGAAAAUGCAGAAAAUGAUAAAGCUAGUCAACAAGUGGAAGCUUCCAUGACCAUAAAGACACACUGUUUACCUCUUUAAGCUUGUCCACUUUUGUGAAGUGGCGACCAAAAGAAGUAUACCGCAUGCCAUGGAGAAAAGGUGCAAGAUAAACUUUAAGCUUGUUCUGCAGAAAUACGAAUAACAAGCUCAUGACACAAGAUUACAAAGUUGUUUUCACAUAUCAAAUAUCAUAAGUCAAGAAAAUAGAUGCAAAUCACCAUGGGCAUUGCAACCCAAAUGGUAUUGAGGGGCUUCCAAGAGACCUCAUAUUACAAGGUCAUGAGUUAAGUCUGUCUUGUUAGUUUAGAGUUUACUCCCAAGAAAAUAACCAUCUCCAAAAUACUUGAGAGUUAAAACAAUAAAAAGGAAAAGGAAGCAACAGACAUAACAACAGGAGCUACAUGGAAAUGAAAGCAAAAAACUGUGACACAUGAACUUGUUGUAUAUAGACCCAAAAAAAGAAAGUGGAUGCAAAAACAUUUCUUUUCCUUAGUCAAGUAACCUCAACAACCAAAUUACAGAGCCAACCUAGGUUUCUGAAAAUGACAUGCCCAACUUCAACUUAAGAAGCCAAUUCUUACCUCUUUUUCUUUUUCUGCUCUCCUCUUCUUUCUUUUUUUCCAUUUUUUUUUUUCUUUUUCUCUGAUUUUGUUGCUUGCAACUUUUAAUUAUCAUUUAGGCUCUAAUCAUUGAAUAAGCUAAAAUGAUUAUUCCAUCCUUUUUCUUAGACACACAGAAGGGAACAUCUCACAAGCCCUACACAUGAACAGUAGAUUCAAGCCCUACACAUGAAUUGAAGGGUAUGUUUAGCAAUGCACAAACACCACUGGAUGAACCCCAUGUAGAAAGAGACCUAAGGCAAUUAUCAUCAGCAAUGCCUAAACUAGUGUUUUAAUGGCACCUGGUCCUUGAGUAAUGAGAAGUCCACUAGCUUUAAGUUGGCCAGUCAAAAUUCCACCUAAUUCCUGUCCUUAAUUAAAAUCAUAGCAUCAUAAAAAAAAAAAAUUCCUUUAAAACACUUUUUAUAAGCAUAUAGAAUUUGACAAGAAAGCUAGAAGGGAUGAGAUGAGCCACCAUGCACAUGCAAGUGCACAAAGAUGUGGGCUACGUCAACAAUCAUCAUGCAAGAUACACAAAAAUGUGCACUACAUCAACUUUUAUCACUGACUCAAAAUCAUGAAAAGGAUGAAAAAUCCAAAGCAGUUCUUUUUUUGCUGUUUAGGGAGAAAAAUGUGCUUUACAUCGACUAUUAUACAAUGCUUUCAAAACGGAAGAAUCACUGAACUGGAGAAGUCACUUGGUCACAGUUUAUUGGUCAGACCAAUGGUUCAACUGCAGUUGAACCGCAAUGUCAACAUGACAUCAUAAAUAUAUAAUUACAACAUUUAAAUGUUAAGAAAAUCUAUCUAAAAAUGAAAUAAAAUUUUAUUAUUUAACUCUACUUCAACAAUCAUAUAUUUCGUUAUUCUACCAUUGUUAUAUUAUUUUUACAUUUAUCAUCUUACAAAGCAAUAAGAGUAUUUUAAUUUUCAAAAGGUGUAUAUUGGUCUUGACCAUGUAUAUAUCAAACAGUAAUGUUGGCACAAUGGUCAUUGAGGAAAAAAAAAUUUUGUAGGAGCAAUUGGAAAUGAAAAUCCAUAUAUCAAGCCCAACCUCCUGCAUGCAUUCCAUAAAAAUGAAAAGGAGCCAGAUUUGGAUGGAAAACCAGGCUGAGUCAGCCAGUUCAACACUAAUUUCAACCAAGUCAGGCUGAAAAGGUAAAAUGAACCUAAAGGACCACAGGCUGAUGGUUGGACCGACUAGUUUGGUUCGGUUUUUAAAACAUUGAUUUUAUACACUAAAGAUGGUAAAUAUCCUUAUUUUCCAAUUAUAGCAUCGUCAAAGGAAAAAAAUUCUCCUAGAUUCAAAAAAAAUCCUAUCGAGGUGACAGGUGGAGUGGAAGCCCAAUAUUACUAAGCUCUUGUACCAAAGGCAAAGAACAGCAUGCUGAAAUGGGAUAAUAAAUAAAUUUUAAAUACAGCUAGUAACAAAAAAUAGGAUCCAGAGCUGGCAACCACCUUCCACUUAACUAUCUGGUUCAAAACCUCUGGCUCACAAACAGCUUUUGCAUCUUCAAUACUGCCCCCUCCUUCUAGCUUCUUUAAAGCUGCUCGAAGAGCCUGCAAUAAAAGAUAAAGUAAAAGCAUCAACAGUAAAUUCUUUUUCAGUAAAAUGACACCAUGGUUCAAAGCUUUGAUUUACACUUCAAAACUAUCAAGACAUACCUCAAUAGAGCCCUCCACCUUUCCCUGUGUAAUAGUCCUGUCAACUGUAUUUUUUGACGAGUAUGCAUGGGUAGAUGGCACUUUGUGCUUUUUCAUGACAUCUUCCAAAGUUAUUAAAGACUUUGACUCCUUAAUUAUGGCCAAUAUUCUGCAUUACAGGAUGUCACUUCCAGAAUAUGAGAUGAUUCGAAAUAUGUACCAAAAAAAUUCCACUCCCAACCGAAUGCAAUUAGUAUAAAUCUGAUGAAAUUUUAGAAAAUAAUGAUGCAAUUAUCUAGUAAUGCAAAGAGAAGUGUAUAACCUAUUCUCUGAAUCCCGAUCUAAUGAAGGCAAUGAACUGCUCGUUUUCUUUGUGACAACCUUUUGUUCCAGUUCACUAUUAGGUGUAUCCUCCUUCCUAGGCUCAGACCUAUUCUUGAUUAGGGCAUAUAACUGUUCUCCCAAGGAUGUCUUGUUUUCAUCAGCCAUGGAUGACUUAUCCACUUUCUUUGAAAUGGAUUUUACAUUGUCAUCCAAAGAUUUUUUGGAGAAACCAGUUACUUUGAGUCUCUUUGAAGGAUCUGGUCCAGAUGAUCUUUUCUCACUUUUUUUGGUAGAAUCACCAUCUUUCACAGUAGAAGACAACUUCUCAACCUGUUUCGUUGCCUUGACAGCCAUUCUUUCACGUGGGGAGUCUUCUGAGACCAGACUUCUCUUCUUUGACACAACCUUGUCCAAGUCCUUUCUGCUUGAGAACAACUCCGAUCUUCGUUUUUCCAUUUUUUCUUCAUCAUUAGGGAAUUUUAUGUGAUCUCUUAUAGGGGUCCCAAGUAGUUCAUCAAUCUCAUGUUUUCUGGUCAAAGUAAUUGAUGAUAAAUGUCACGAGUUGCUACAGAAAAUAUAGAGAAGAAAAAAAGCUUAUCACAUUAAAUGCUCACAAGCAAUAUAUCAAAAUACGGUUGGGCAAUAGGCCAUCCCAAGCCCUCUGUAUGAUUCCUUCUUCAUCCAAGUCUUCAAAAGAAAUUUUCCUGAUAAAAAUAACUUGAGCAUCAACCAUCCAUACAUUACCCAUACACUACUAAUUAAGUAAAAAAAUCAUAAUAUUUUGUAACAAUAUUGAAAGAUAAAAUAUGAAUCAUAGAAACAAUCAGGCAGUACCUAGGCAGGCAUUUCCUAUGAUAUGACUUGGGACAACGUCUACAUAUAGCAAACUGCAACUCCAGAUCCUUUUUAUCUUCUCCUUGUUUACAGACAUGGCAUCUAUGAAUAGGGCAAGCAAAUAAUUCCCCUGCAUAAAUAUUUUUCUGAAGCUCUUCUGCUGCAGCUUCAUCCUCCCGGUGAAGCAGUUUUGCAACGCAUUGUGGAUGAUAAAAUCGUCCACAGGUUGCAUUAGCACAGAGAAAGACCUAAAAAGCAAUUGGUGAAGAAAAUAUGAGCCACUGAAGUUAAGAUCCACAUAGAUAGUACAUUCAUGGAGAAAAACUGGAAGAAACAAUCCUUGGGAAUCUUUGAAAUGGCAAACUAAUUCCCAAUCAGUUAACCUAUAUUCUAACCGCAGUAAUCAAUUACGACUACAAUAAUCUGAUACAAGAGACAAACGGGUCAAUUCCGAUGCAACUAUGUGAAGAAAAUAAAAAACUUGUGAUAGCAAACAUAAUAGGACAUCAGAUGUGUUAAAAAUUAAUGCUGAGGAUUUAUGGAAGUGGUAAUCUUUUAACUGAAAUACCAAGUAAUGACUAGCGUCUGAGGGGGCAAAGGGUGUGUUCAAAGUUUGGAACACACCAAAAGAAAGGCAAAAAAAUUAUUUGAAGCUUUUAUAGCUAAGUUAUCCCAACAAUACUUUGUAAAUCUGACAGAAUCACAGGGAGCUACAAAAACCUCAGCUGUCAAUGUUCUAAUUAAGUCAUCAAACAGAAAAAUAAUAUAAAAUCAACAAACCAAAAUUCCAUCCAUUCAAUGUUUUAUAGCAGCUUUAUACCUCAGCGCCUGAAGAUUUGUCAGAAGAGCCAAGCUUCCCACAAGAGAAACACUGGUGCUGCUUGUAUUUACAGUUUUUACAAUAAAAAUUCUGCAUGGCCUGCCAUGUAAAAUAAAAUGAAAGUAUGAAAAAAGAAACAAGAAGAAAAACUCAAAAUCAAAAAAUGGCCCAGGAGCACAUAUCCACGUGCACACCAGAAAGUAAUAAUAAUAAAUAUGAAAAAAAUAGCAUACUUCUACUUGAGCCACAGACAUUCCAAGUGUAGCACAGAGUGAUUCCUCUCCAGCUUCUUUAGUUGCAUGAAAUGACCUCAUACAUCUCCCUUCACAGCUGCAUCAUAAACAAUAACAUAGAUUUUAAAAUGUACUUAUCAAAAUGAUGCUCAGUUAAUCAAAUACAAAACCAUGAUAAGAUCUGUCUAAAGCUAGGUAAUAGUUUAAAAGACAUAAAAGCGGUGCAUCAUAUUACUUGGAGGGAGAAAGAUUAGACAAAUAUAUAAAAGUAGCAAGCAAACAACCUUCUUGGAAGAUUAAAGCUGCCAUGUAGAACUAAGGAAUUUCAUGACAAAUCUUUUGAAAAUUAGACAAUAUUUUCCACAAGGACACACAAAAACAAAUGGAUCUAAUGGUUUUAGUGCAUCAGAAUAUAAGAAUCUAAUCAUUAUGUCCCCAGUCAAACAACCCUUAUACUUCCAAACAAACUAAUGAGAGUGUACAUUUUGUUUAUAUAUUUCAUUUUUACAUGAAAUUUGUUUUCUCCAUCAAGGGAGUAUGUUAGGGCAUUGUAUAGCAUUCAAUUUUAGUCUGCAGAUAUAACAGAGCUACAUCUGCUGCAUGAUGAUGACAAAAAACAAGAAUCACUCAACUCUUUUAUAAUAGUUUAUACCAAAAAGUAAAAAUAUAAAAAUAAAAUAAAAAUGAGCCUGACAAUGUCAGCACAUGUUGUCACUAUGCAUCAAUAGUUAUAACAAUAACAAUAACAAUAAAAGAAACAGCAAACUCAACCAGACUAGAAACAACCAUAAUGACGAUGAUGAAUUAAACCUUAAAUUACCAGGGAAUCUUCCAAGGACACUUAAAUUUUAUGCAAUACAAGAUGAGGUCAUGGAGAUGUAAUAGAAGUUCUCAAGUACAAAAGGAACAUCUUAUCAAAAAAUGUAAGUACAACUGUAAUAAAUAAAUAAUGCAUACCACAAAAGAUCACCACCAUUAUCACACAUCGAACACACAGAAUCAAACAGGUCCUCCUCUUCAUCAGAACCAACUUCUCCGGUUUCACUUAUUCCAUCUUCAUCCAUAUAAUCAACUAUAAACCCAGGCUUUGAUGUAGUUGGAACAUCCUGCUAAACCAACAAGUGCACUCGCUCAAUAAAGAAAAACUUGCACAAAAAGGAAUAAUCAAGUUAAAGAUCAAAGUUUUAAGAGGACAAGUGGGCAAAAACAGAAAAGCACGAGAGUCAAACCUCAAAAGAUUUCCUCUUCCUGGGCUUCUCCUCAAGAAAUGUGAGCAAAAACUGAUCAACAAAUAAAUUGUCAAGAUCACAAAGUGCAAAAGAAAAUAUAAAUUCUUGAUACACUAAUUCCUAGAUACGAUCUUGAACAAAGAACAACCAUAUUUCAAAUGAAACUCAACUUGCAGGUAACUGUUAUUUACAACAAACACGAAGUAAACCAAGCAAAAACAACUACAAAAUAAUUGCACUUUAAAAACGAAUUACUAUUGUUUCUAAAAUCAAACGUGCGGUGCACAAAAAGGUGCAAGGUGCAGCAAGAAGCACACAUAAUGAAUGUUACAUUGAAUCAGACAAGUUGUAUUCAAAUAAAUGCAAAACAGAAUGCCCAAGGCUUUUAUGUUAUCUUUUCUUUUUAAAACUUGAUGGAUACAUCCCCAUGAGCGCUACGGUUUUAUAAUAGCCACUGUGGUAAUGUUUUAAAGCUGUUCUCUGUUUGUAGUCAUCAGAAGGUUCAGAAAAAUGGCACCAAAAGAUAAAUUUUAAGGACUCAUUAUUGGCAACAUCUCCUUCAACUAUGAUUGUAAAGAUUCUUAAAUUUUUAAACUCUUCUUGCACAUCCAAAUACUUGUUAAAACUCACCACUUCUGGUGCCUUGCCUCCCAAGGUAGGUGCCUUGUUGCAUAGGCACGCCACAACUAUUUUCUUUUUUUCAAGGUCAUGGAAUAGUGCAGUCAAUUUGGCCCCUUUUCUUCUAAAUUGAACAUAUUUGGUGAUACAUAAGAGUAAGACAGAUGUUUGCAUGUCCAAAUAUAAAAGUAUUUUAUAGAAUUUCACAUGCACACUAGGUCGUGCCUCACUUCACUCAAGUGUUUGCCUUGGGUUGUCCUAAGGCCCCAAGAGAUCUUUGCACCUUGUUCCUUAGGGAACUAUGCACCUGUCAAAGACCUUGAUCUUCCAACUUAACCUUUUUCAUAACAAAAAGUUUCAGAGAAAAUCUUUUAUUACAAUUGCCAAAUCCCAAUAACAAGAUGAGUCAAAACAAAAUCUGGAACCGACUUUAAUUAUAACCAAUGUAUUUGCUUGUGCCAAGACAGAUGAGAUGUUUGCCAAUGUUGAAUCAGGUCAAAAUAGAUUGGGCACUAAUAAACCUACCAGCACAUAUAUAAAUCUAGUAGUAUCAAAUUUACUAAAAUGGCAUGAAGAAAAAGUGACACCUCUGUGUCACUUUUUUAUACUUGUAAAUGGUUCUAUGUAAAAGAAGCAAUUAGACAUCUAGUAAACAAGUGAAACACCAUUUUUCAAGUCACAAUUGUCACCCACUUUGUAGGUAAAAUAGUGCCAAUGAAAGAAAGACACAAAGAUCAAAAAACAUAAUUAAUCAUCUAAUGUUCACAAUAUGAACAAUAAUAUCUUGUUGCAAUGUUUUAAACAAUAAUAAAGAGCAAACCUUGGAUUUUGCUAAGCCCUCAUCCCUUUUAACAGCUUCACUGAUUAAAGUGGUAUGAUCCACCAAAUCAUUCUCAGAAGGUCUGACAUCGUACAAGCUGAAAGGUGCACAACAAAUGUCAACAAUUGCACCUACAAAAAAUAAACUGAAAGAUGAAAGGAUUGAAAACCUAAUAUGAUUACCUGAAAACUCUAGACAAGUGAUCCCAUAAUGAUUUCCCAGAUGUUUCAGGAUUUUUCUUCAUAGAAUGAAGACACCACACAGUUAUCAAGAUAGACCUGAUAAUAUCCUCAAAGCUCUUCCUUGGCUUUUGAAGCUUGAUCCAGUUAUUUUCCUUGGAGAGCACUGAUAUUUCAGGAUUCACAUCGGAAAGAUCAAACUUCCAUGCAAUGACCUGCUUAUAAAUCUUCUGUAGCCCAUUGUCAGCAUUACCAUCCAAGAAAAUAGGUUCCUUCUUGCUAUCCAGGUUGUCACCCUUGCUCCAUUGAAUAGGCAGAACCGAAAAUGAAAUGGGUUCACCUUUGUCAUCUACAAAAUGGUAAUUUGAGACAGACCCUGGCAGAGUCUCACCCUCAUCAUCUGAAGAUGCCAUUCUCUUUAAUUCACAAGCUCACCUCACAGCCUAACAGAACACAUGGACAGAGAAUAAAAAAAUAUGAGAGUGAAGAGACAAUGAAUGCAAUUCCAUCUUUCAGCGUAAAUCAAAUUGGUCCAGAUUCGCCUUAAUGUCUUUUUGGUCAAAAGAAACCAUGAUAUGAAAAUCGGCAAAUGGAAAUAGAAAAUUAAAACAACUUGAUUUCAUAAAAUCCUAAGACACUUGAUAUGUCAUUAUUUUUGGAAGGCUGGUAGUUUUUCUUCCAUUUGUUCAAUAUCAUGGAAUAUAAGAAAUUCAUAUUUUGAAUCCUAAAAAUUUUCAAAUUUAGGGACCCAAAAAAACAGAAAUCUUUGCUCCAACUUCAAACAUAUUCUACCUCAAUUUUCACAGCAACUAAACAGAGGGUUAUGGUUCUGGUACUUACAAGGCAGUCACAAAUUACUUCACAUUCCAUGCAAAAAAAUAAUGUAUAUAUAAGAAAUUUAGAUGCCACAUUGACUUUCUAGGGUUUCAAUGACCGAGAGUAUCAGCGUAACAGCCAGUUUGAUUGAUGAGAAAGCACACCCAAAAAUAAAAAGAAAACGUGAUUCACAAAUCCCAGUCUCCUCAUUGCUAUUCUGGACGAAUAUCCCAUUUUUCCUUCCGUUUGGUUGUUGAGAAAACGCAGGAAAACAAACAAAAACAAAUGAAAUCUUCAAAAUCCUCUUUUUAAAGCUAUAUUGAUUUCCCAUAUACCAAAAUUCUCCUCAGACGAAGCCAAACAAUUGUAAAACGCUCGGUUGGGUGGAAUUUAGAUGUGAUUAAAAAAUAAAAAUAAAAAUUCCCUUAUUCUCCUCUAUUUUCUCGGCAACCCAGCAGAAGCACACAUUGUUCUCUCUCAAUAUUCUCUCCUUUUCUCAGAAACCAAACAGCGACUCAUCGCCGGAAAAGGGUUUACCUUAUCAGAAUACAAACAACCCAGCAGCAAUCGCUUCCUCACCGCGCCCUAAGAAGAGAAAAAAAGGAAGCAGAAUCUCCUCCCGCUUACCGCCCUUCUAUUCUGUCACCAGAGUACAAGCAAUUGAGUUUUGUCCAAACACUCCAUUUUAUAUAAGUCGGUUUUAUAUAUUUGGGAAACACUCCCUUUUCUUUUCUUUUUCUUUUUCUUUCUUUUUCUUUUUUAUUUUGGGCCCAUUUUUUAUUUUUAGAAACUUUCCAUAAAAAAAUAAAUCAAUAUUCUAUAGUAUUUAAUAGUGUCCUAAAAGGUAUGUGCGAAUUUUGGAAAAGAUCUUUUAGGGAUUUGGGUGCAUUGAAUACUAAAAUGUUAUAUAUAUUUUCUAAUUUAUAGAUGUGAUAUCCAAUCUUGGAUGGACGAAAAAAGUUUUGAUAUAAUAUAAAUAUGGUUUCUUUGUGGGGAAGUACUUAUUUGGGUUUAGAGGGAAUUCUAUUUAUACAAUUUGAAACGAGCUAUUACAAAUGAUAUAAAAAUCGAUCUCUACCAUGAUGUGGGGGUUUAUUUGACUUUAUAAGGGAUGUUGUCUAUUUAGUCUCGUAAUCCUAUAAGACACAAUAAGGACAUUAUAUUUUAUAUGGAGAAGUGUUUAUGAUAUUUCACAUGGUAUAGGAGAGCAUUAUAUAAGUAUGGGUUCCUCGCAUUUUAAAGCAGUGAUAACACAUUUAGGUUUAAAGUAAACAAUAUUUACAUGAUUGGUUGUCGUAUCUUAGUUCAUACUAAAAGUAAAUUCAAUUUUCACACUUUUUAUUACCUUUUCUAGUUUGUGGUGAUAAAAACAAUUAAAGAUUUAGUACAAUAAACAUUAGAUUUAUAGUUAAUUUUAAUAUAAUUUUUACAUUUUAGUAGCUUCGUAAUUGGGUUUAAAAAUUUGUAGUCGAUUCACAGUUAAAUGUUGAUAUUAGGUUGAUUUAAUGUGCAUUUAACUAGUAGUUAAUUUUUUGUUAAAUAGGUAUAAAAAUUAAUUACUUACUUUUAGAUGGAACUCAAUCCAACCAACCAACCAACUCAAGUUCAUGAGUCUAACUCAUUCAUCUAUAUUCCAAGCAUAUGUUUACUAAUUCAAAUAUGAACCCUAUAGGAAUAAACUUCAUUCGCAUAUGGGUUGAGCUUCCCCCCCUUACUCCACCUUCAAAUCACAAAGAAAACAACCAUUUAGCUGGGCAGAGAAGCAUGUUAUUCCCACAAAUCAUGUCCUUUCGAGUUUAAGAGUUCAAGGACUAAGCAGACAUCAUCUGAAGAAAAAAAAAAAAAAAACAGCCUUUCUUCCCUUCCAUUAUUCAAAAUUUCCAUCUGCAGAAUCAUAUUAUUCAACAUCAACAAAGUAAUUAUUGUGCAAAGAAUACAUGCAAAACUCCAGAGCCUACCUACAAAAGAGGGUGAAAGGGGGAGGGAGGGGAGAGGAAAAUAAAGUAACAGAUUGUACAGGGUAUGUAUGUAUGUAUUAUCCGAAAAUGAGCAUACUUUUCUAUAAUCGCUGUGGUUUUGUUUCGGUUUGUAAGGUCGAAAACUUUGAGAUAUAACCCACUUGGUUGAAAAUGUAGUUGCACCAUUCACACAAAAGCACUUUAUAUUCAAACUUCAAUCGCCUAUAGGGGUGUCGUCGUUUUCAAUAUGAGAGGAAACUGUGGUAGUGGUAUCAGGAGCCUCGUUUUCAACCUGUGAGGAAACUGUGGUAUCAGAAGCUGCAUCAUCAAUGAUCAAGUUCGAGAUUUCACCACUCAGGGAGCUUUCAUCCUCUCCAUUCACUGAUGCUGAUGGGGAUGCAUCAGGAGUAGUGCUAGUAGUGCUGGCAGUAGUGGCUGCAUCAGCAGGGGAUGAAGAUGUCUCCAACUCUUCAACUGGUUGCUGCAGACUCCAGUACAUGAUACUCGCUGUUAGAGUGAGGAUCAUCUUCUGAUUUACCUGUUAUAAACAUGAGAAAACAUAUUAGAUCAAGAUGUCGUGUUUUUCCAAUUUGUACACAUACGUAUACAGAAAGAAAAUUGAAUCCCUGGAGUUAAGACGAGUGAUGGAGUUGCUGGUGUGUAUUUCCAUGAAUCUGAAUUUAGAACUAGAGAAAUAAUAAAAUCGUGUCCAAAUUCGAAUAAAUUCAUUAUUUUUAUGGACAGAGUUGAACAAUUUUAUUCUUGUGAAUGGAAGCAACUUGUUGAAGUCACAAGGAUAAAGAGAAAAUGAUAACAACUUAGAAUAAAUCUUUGUAUCUGUACAGAAGAAAAUAAAAAAACAAACAAAUCAACAUAAUACAGAUGCAUCCUUACCUCCAUGAUGUCCUCAGGCAACAAGAAAAUAGAACACCCAAGUUUCCUCGCAACACUGAUUAUGUAAGUAGCAUUCAACUUCUUCUCUUCCUCUAUUAUUUCAAUAACAGAAAAACUGAAAUCAUUUAAUCUAAAAAUGGGUUCAUUAUAAUAUUGUUGCAUAUAAAUGAAACACAAAAGGCAUUCAAAUUCAUCCAAUGAAGACGGUUGGAGUCCCUGUUUUCUUGUCCAACCAAAAGAAGGCUUGAACUUUCAGAAAAUAUUCCAUAGAAAGAAAGAAAAAAACCAUACCACUUUCACCCUUAGUAACCAGGUUCCAAUUGACAACCCUUGGCUCCACAGCACUGAGAAGAUCAAGGAAGAAUAUUCCAUUGGACAGGUUCUUAUCCUGAAAAGUAGUUUGAGAGAACAUAAUGAGGUUGAUGAAGCCUGGUUUAAGAAAGCAUGAUUCAUUGAAGAAAUGUAUGAGAUUUUUUAACCUUGAAACUCUCCAUUUGAGAAGUUCUGCCUGUGCGCUUCACUUUGUUAUUUGCCCAUUUCAGGAUAUCAGCAUCAGUCAUCUCUUUCCCUUGGGAGUGGAAUCUCAAGUUCUUUAGGAGCUGGAGCAUAUUAUAUCUCAUCAACUGCCAUAGGAAAGCUGAAACAAAUGUAAACAAGUUGAGCUCUCUGGAUCACUUCUUUUUGCAACAAGUCUGCUAGUUUUCAGCUAAUGACUGAAGCCAUAUCAGCCAGAGUCAGGUGAAGAAAAGAAAAGACAAAGUAUUGAAGUAACAGAACACUUUUUCAGGAGUUCAAAAUGACACAGUAACCACGAUAAUUUUCAAUAUCCACUGACAAAUUUUAUGAAAUGGUGAAAAAUCAACAUCUAAAGAAUAACCCAGAACAGGAAAAUUUAUUAACAUGGAACUGCCAUGCUGUGUGUCUCAGCCUCCAUCUUGUAUAUUUAGAUUAUUUAGUUAUGCAUUAUUAUUUACUUUAUGCAAUGCCUCUCCAUAUAAGGGUCGUUUUAUCUUACAUUACACAUGACCUAAUAAACAAGAAAGGUAUGUAUAGAUUGUUGUAUGUACAUCAUAUGUAACAUUGAGGGACCAAUCAAAAUAAUAUCCAAAAGCAAUUUUCUCUUUGAAGUUCAAAGUUAAUCAAAACAAUUCACAAGGGAUCAAGUUAGAGUUUAUUAAGAGACAUUAAUAACAUGUUUGUAACAGGAUGAUUAUAUAAAUAGUAAAUUUAAUCAGGUAGAAUCUUUAAAAUGGAGACAAAUUGAUAAAUGCAUAACACUGUCUAGCAUAAUGAUGAAUGAUGCCAGAUGCAUGAUAAAAAAUCCUUGAUUCUAGACACAGAUACAACUUGAGAGGGAGCACAUUACCAAGUAUGAGCUUCUUAUUUCCCUGUACAAUAUCUUCUCCAGCUACAUUCACAAGGGAAAAUUUCAAUUGCUUCCCUAUCCCUAUGACUUGAUUGCAGUUCUCUACUUUUCUGAAUGGCAUCUUAAUGGGAGGUUUUGAUGCACGCUUCCAGUUAACAGAUCCUGGAGAAACCUUGUCAAGCACUUCCAAGAGUAUCCAUCUGCAUACAUGAGAAACUAUGGAUCAAGAAAGCUAGGGAAAAGCUUGCAAAAUAUCAAGUUCCAUAAAAUUGUUUCUGCUUUCCAAUUCAAAAAUUAUUUUCACAAUUUGGAAAAUAACUGGGAAGUGUGAAAUUGUGGUAAUGACAAAUUUACAAGAAAAAAUAUGGGGAAAAAAUUGCAGAAUGCAUUUGAGUAGGGGAAAAGCUAUUCAAGUUAUGGAAAGACAUUAAGAGGUCAUGGUAUUAUUCAGGAUAAACAAUCAAUCAGCAUAUUUUUUAAAACUACUUAGGAAUUUCAUAGAAUAUCCAAAGAAUUUGACCACAAGGGAUACUAUUGAUUACAACAGAAACACUCACCCAUUUCUCACAUCCUCAAACAAAUUAUUGACAUAAGUAACAAUUCCAAGACUGUUGAUCCACAGCCUAAAGCAUCUUUCUUCUCUAGAUAUUAGCACAUCAUCUGUCAUCAUCUCUGCAAAGGAAAUAUUUUUACAGUCCGCAGACAGCCCACUCCUGCAAGAGAGAUCAACAUUCUUUCAUCUUAUGCUGUUAUGCAUAUAAUUAAACCACUAAAAUGGCAAGUUAGUGUUCUAAAAUUCUCAAGCAAGACUUCAAAACAGCAAAUAAAGAUAAGAUACUUGACUUCUGGAAGCCAGUCAUUUCUGUAAUCAGAUAAGGAAGAAGGCUAAUCAAUAAGAUUCUGUACUAACUUAUACUAUAUGCUCACAGCUAAUUCCAGUAGCUGCUAUGACACUACCAGCCAAAUAGAAAAGGAAGAACAAAAAGGGAUUUCUACGAAGUCUCAAAAUGUCAAUAAGCUGACACUAUUCAUUUCCCACCUUUGAUGGAAUAUUUGAGCAACAAAUGCAAGAUUUAAAUUUGGUGAGCCUUCAACAAUGUCCUUUGGACUCAAGUAUCGUUUGCAGUCCAUUCUCUCUGCAUGAUCAAGUACCAGCUUUGCCCUAUGAGUGGGAUCCUUUGCGUCCAAGGUUGCUGGACUGCAGUGUUCUGGUGCAAGAACAUUAAGCAGGUAAGCAUAAGCCUCUCCAUCCUGCAUGUUUAUGAGCAUAUGGCAUCAUAAAGAGAAAGCAAUAGAUUUUGAAGCAUUCCAAAAGAAAACAAAAAGUGAAAAAAAAAAAAACACAAAACAAAACAAAAUAAAGGACAAAAAACAGGUUGAUGACUAAAGUAAAUAGAUAGCACUUCACAGGAAAGCAAUUAUGCUGCUGUGAUUUAACAAUUUCAUAAUCGUUGUAGUUACUAAUAAAAAAGGUUAACCAUUGAUAAGAGGCACAAGGGGAACUUGUAACAUUCUGUAGCAAGGUGAUUAUAUUCUCUGAGAAUGUUUGCUAUAAGGAUGCUGCAGUUCCCACUCUCAUUGCCAUAUUCUGAUCUUGAGACCAAAUAUGAACUUUUAAAACCUUUUACCCAUAAUUACAUAAACCUUCUAGAAAUGUAAGGUAUUUCAACUUCCAAAAUAUUUCUUUACUACAAACUCUUUACACAUGAUUUCAGCUAGGAUUAGGUAUCAUAUGGUGAAACUUUUACUCCACUCUCCACCCCAUCCCAAUGGAAAAAUAGAUAGAAGUCGCUACUGGAAAACAAUAGGAGUAGCCAUACCUUCAAAUCAGAAGAAAAAUUUGUAAUGGGCUUCUUGUAGCCAGCUUUCUUAAGGUGGAAAUUCAUCCAUUUCAAUAAAACCUUCUCAGGGGCUAAGCCCAUAAGCUCCUCAACAUCCUGCAACAUUCGAUAAUCUGUAAAGUUGUAUUCUCUAUUGCUUAAUCAGAACAAGCUUGAAAAACUAGCAUUUUGCAAUCAAUUUUAUUUCAGAAAAAUAUAAGACAAAAGCUUGAGGGAUUGACAUUUCAUUACAUUGCCAUCAUCCACCAAUUCCACAAGUUGAGGCGUCUUCUUAAGAUUAAGAUCUGCUAACAGUUGGAUCUGAAGUUGGCACAGUUUGUAAGAAGUUAAUAUGUUUUGAUGGUAAACAUGAGUACAAAAAAAUUGAACACAUUAUACAUAGAAUAUAAUCAUUAUAUGCCCAUCUCUAUUUCUCUAUAUUCAAAAUAUGAAUACUUCAUUCUGUCCUACUUCAGUCCUUAACAUAAAAAGCUAAGAAAACAUGGGCAAAGUUUGGGUACCAACCUUUAUAAUUUGAGAAAUUAAUCCAAGUAGUAGAUGAGGCUGCAAUAUGAACAGACUAAAAUAAAAUCCCUGGGACACCAAAGAGAUCAAUAUAAUCCUAUGGAUAGCUAAAUCAGAACAACUUACUCUUCCUUCAAUCAAGUCCUGUGUCCCAAUGUUCACCACCGUGCAGCCAAUGGCCUUUGCAGAGUUGAGGCAAAGGGUAUGGUUUUCAUUCCUCUCCCAUGGAUUUAGUACCCGUUUGGUGUUAAUAGCUCGUUCAUCUAUUGUCCCUGGCACUGCAACGUUGAUAAGCUUACUGCAUCAAGCCACAAGACAUAUGUUCUUUAUAAGCCACAGCAUAUUCAUUGACAUAACAAAGUAGAGUAUUAUCAAGCAGACCAUGCUUAAGUACCAUAAAAGAACUCCAUCUUUUACAAGAUCAAACAGGUCAUUUGUGGAUGGAUCUAAAGGAAGAUAUUGCUUCAGAAAUGGGUCAUCCCCAAGAUAGCUGUUGAUAUGGGCCACAUAAGAUGCCUUCUCUGAUUCAAUAAUAGUGUGAAGAAGGGUGGUUGUGGUGGCCUUGAGGAAUGAUGAAGAGUGAUUCGAACCACCCAAUUUUUCUGUUCCCCGACCUUGCAAAUUCAGAUAUGCCUGCCAUUCCUCACAAUUGAUCAGCAUUGUACUACUAUUCCUCUAAUCCUAAUACGAAUGCAAAAUGAGUCAUAGUGGCUCACCCUAAGAAAGGCUUCAAAAUCGACCUCAUCAUUCAUGUCUGCACCUGACUCACCCAAGAUUCCUCUAAUCUCCUCCUCUUUAAACAUAUCACUGAAUGCCUUCAAUUUUACCAUUAGAGCUGGCAAAUCUCCUACUGUAACUUUGCCGUUUUGAUUCCUUACCGCCAUAAACUAAAACCCACAAAGAAAAGAAAGCAAUUCGCACAUUAAGAGAACUUAGAGAAGUCACAAAAUCCAUCACAUAACUACCACAAAUCAUAAUUAAUAACAAAAUUCGAUAAAAACACCAUAAUUCAAAAAAUUCAGUAAAUGAGGGAAGGAUGAAGCAUAGUUACCUUGGAUUUCAGGCUUCGAAGUUCCACCUGUGUGAACUGGCUUUGAAGCCAUUGAUCAGAAACAAGAACACCUACAAAGCUAGACAUCUUCGCCGCAGUCGAGUGGAGAGAAACCCAAUCACCCCCUAAAUUUCCUCCACAAACUAAGCAAAAUUGACCCAGACCCAACAAGAAUCUCCAAACGCAGGAGUCAAAAACCGAUACAAGAUAAUCAAAACCUCAAACUCAGAUCCACACACUGAGAAGAAACGACAAGUACACUAACAGCGACUGUCUCCCUUGCACGAAUCUCCAAUCCCUCUAAAAUUUCGCUUAAUCCCUGAUUGAUACACGCAAGAAAACGUGAGAAAAUGCAGGAAAAAACACAUUCUGUGCCAGUGUUUCAUCAACGACACAAAAAAACAAAAGAGACCCGGAUAAAAAGACGUGGAAUUGAAGAAAACCCACGAGCACGAACCUCAAAAAAUCGGAGAUUUGCCUUGAAAUGGACUGGGUUGGCUCCUAGAUUUGACUGUUGUUCAGAUAUUCAACAGUACUGGAAAUUGCGAGGGAGAAAAGAGAGAGAAAGAGAAAGAUUUUAGAGAGAGAAAAAGAUGGAAUUAUAGAGAGAGAAAGAGAUCAAUUUUGCCUUCGCCGAAGAGCAAAGUGAGAAAACGGUUUGGCCUACGGAACCGCAAAGACCAUGAGAGAGAGAGAGCAGCCAGCCUCGAUAGAACUGUCAUUAGGAGCCAUCCGACUGUCACACCCCUACUCCCAAGAGUACAAUAAAUCCAUGAACUCGCUCCCCCUUCCCACCACCUCACUAAAUCUUGGGGUUAAACCUCAAUCUUUGCAUACCAGUCAUUCGAUGCUGACGUGGCAGCUCUUUAUAGGCCCACCAAGAAUCUCAUAUCACCAUUGUAUGACUCAAAUGAAAGUUUGAAUCAUGUCCAAAAUUAUUAAAUUUGGUUCAUUUAAUAAUAAUAAUAACAUUUAUUAUUAUUAUUAUUAUUAUAAUAAUAUUAGUUGGAGUCCAAAAGUUUCCAUGCCAUUUUCUUAAUUGUUAAGCUUUGAUGUGUCAAUUAUGUGGUUUGAAAUUGUAGCUCCUGAUGUUCUGGCGGAACAGAUUUGACUUCCCUCAAUAAUAAGUUGAAUUGCUUUUAUCUUAAUAUUUUCAUGGAUUUAUUCUUAAAAUAUUUUUCAUGAAUUCAUCCGAACCUUGCAACCAAAUGCCUUUUAAUUUUCACUCCAAUAAGAAACUGAAAUUAAAAUGAGAAGUUAUCAUUUUAAAGAAGCAACACUAAGAUGAUGUCUAAUUAAAACCCGACAUAGAUUAAGAGUGUUUUAUUUUUAACUUUAUAGGUAAUUCUUCUAAAAAUUAUAUUUUUUUUAUCUUAUAUAUAUAUAUUCAUAAAAUACUAUUAAAAUACCUUUUUUUUUAUACUUAAAUAUUAAGAGCAUGUUUGACCGUUUGGUUUAAAAAUAGUUUUUUAUUUUUAAAAGUAGAAAAUUGUUUAUAAAUUUUUAAUAGUGUUUGCUGGUUGUUAUUUGGAAACAAUUUUUAUAAAUAAAAUGAAAUAAAAAACAAUUUUUAAAGAGUUGUUUUUAUCAAUUUUUAAAAACAAAAGUUUAUAAAAAAAUGUUUUUAAGUUAAAAAAAAAUUAAAAAACAAGUUUAAGAAACUUUUGUUUUUAAAAAUCUUUGAAAACAACUCCUACUUGUUUUCUAAAAAUUGUUUUUCAUUUCACUUUUUUUUAAAAUGAUUUUUAGAAAACAACCCAUCAAAUAUUAUAAAUUUUUAAAAACAGUUUUUUGUUGUUAAAGAUAAAAAAUUAUUUUUAAAUCAUGAGCAAUCAAGUUUAGAAUCUUUUAAAAAACCGAGAUAUCAAAAUUUUUAUUACCUUAGAUUUUAUAAUUUAAAAAAAUGAUUUUUAAGAAUAUAAAGUAAAUUCAUAUUUUUUUUAGUAAGGAUUCAAAUAAUUUAUAUACCAUUUAUUACUAUUUUUUCUUUCUAAACAUAAAAAAUAGGAAGCAUUUGAAAUGAUAAAUAAUAAAAAAAACGUUUUAAUUAGAAUAUUAGAAGAAAAAAACUAGUAAUAUUGAAUAUUCAUUCCAAUUUUGCCCCUUCUACAAACCAAAUCCAUAACCGUUGUGGUAAUCAUUUCCAAUUCUAUCCCCAUUUAGCCAAAGAAAUUAUGUAUCAUUAAAGGGUGAGUAAUAAAAUUUAAUCCAAAAGAUGUAUCAAUUAAUGAUGGGAAUUUACUCUUCCCCUAAAAAGUACUCUCAGCAGAAGUGAAAUGAUGGCAACGUCAGAUAUAUACAGGCCUGGAAUUCAAAUGUUCAACUCUCAUAUUAAAACCUUCUGCGAAUUGUAAAUGCAAUUUCAGAAGUCAUUUGCCCAUGACUCUGUCUCACACCCACCGCCCAACCGGCCCACCGCCCGCCCACUCCCACUUUGAUUCCUCCACAUUGGAUGAUUUGUAUCAUGGUCUUCGAAGCAUACGACAGCAUCCACUCUAAAGUUUGUUUGUUUCUCUCUCUCUCUCUCUCUCCCAUGGCUUAUUAGGAAAGGAUUCUUUUUAGGUAUAGAAGCUCAUUAUUAUGGUCAAGAAAAAAAAAAUGUUUAGAGCAUGUGGUGUUUGGUAAAUUGAGACUUGGUAAUUUAAUUUAAGUUAUUGAGUAAAAUAAUUUAAUAAUAUGAUUUAAAAUAAGAAAUAAUUUUAAGUAAUAAUUAAUAAAUAAAAUAAUUAAUUUAUUCUUAAAUCUAUAUUUUUAUUUGUUUUACUUAUCUUUAUGAUCUCUUUUGUUAUUCCAUAACCUCCAUUAUUAUUCAAUCUCCUUCCCCCUAAUUAUAAUUUAUGAGGAUAAAUAUAUUAAUUUGAUAAUUAAAAAUAAAUUUUAAGUUAAUUUUAUCGAACAACCUUAAUACUUAAAACAAAAAUUAAGUAAUAGUUUUAAGUUAAUAAUUCAGGUAUAAUUUAAUUUAAAGUUAACUUAAGUUAUUAAGUGAUAAGUGCUAAAUUUUACCAAACACUUCUUAAGAAAAAGAAUUAGGCUAUGUGGGUGUUUGAUAAAUCAAUUUAAUUUUUUGAUUUAUAAAAUUUUGUUCUUGAAUUUUAUCAAACAACUCUUUUUUUUUUUUUUUAUGUUUUUUAUAUUUAAAAUUAUUUUCUAAAAAUAUUAACAAACAGACUUUUAAUAUUUUAUGGAAAGUAAGUAGAAACAUGCACUAGAAAUUUUAUCAUCUCACCAAAAGGAGGUGAUUGAAUGAAUAUCCAGAAUUUUUUUAGAAUUGAAUUAAAAUAAAUUAAAAUAAUUAUCAUUAAUAGGAAUAUCAAGAAAUAUUUUCUAAGUUGAUGUAACUUUAAAUGUAUGUGAAACCAAUGAAUGAAACCACCACCACCACCCAGUGCAGGCACCAUAAAGAAGAACAGUCUUGGAAAAAAACAUAGUUGAUAAGUUUAUUCAAUUUUAUAAUGAAAUUAGUUGCACAAUAAUACUGCCAGAGCAUGGAGCAUGGCUGUUUUUGGCAGGGAAUCAGAUCACUUAUGACAAAAAUAAGCAAUGUCUUUUAGAUUUCUCCAAUAAGAAAUAAUAAAAAAAUCAAAAUUAAGAAACAUAUGUGAAUACAUUUCUAAAAACUAGGGUCAAAAUAUUUUUUGAAUUAUUUUUGAGAAAAUAUUAAAAUAUUUUCCUUUUACAUUUUAGGGUUCUUGUUGUGAUCGCUUGAUAAAAAAUAUAUACAAAAUAGGGUUCAAAUAGAUUUAUAAUAAAAGAUUAAUUUACCCUUAGUUCGAAAAAGACUAAUAAAUAAAUAACUCUAAUAACUCUUAAUAUUUCCUCACAAAUGAUUCGACUAUAAGAAGCAUGAGUGUUUGUUAAGAAAAAAAUGGAAAACACAAAAGCAAGUGCUACUUGGUAAAUAAGUCUUCAAUCCUAGAGAAGAAGAAACAAAAGUCAAAGUAAGAGUGUUAUUUGCAAUCUAAAUAAUGUUUUUAUCGUCACGAUACAUGGAAGUAAGACAAGAAAGAGAAACACCUAUAUCUACAAGUAACUAGUGUGACAAAACUAUUUCAAUGUGGUAGAUGUUGUAGCAUAAUACUUAGCUUCUAUGAAAGAUCGAGAAAUGAUAGUCUAUUUCUUGUUGUUCCAAAAAAUAAGAAAAUCCUAAAAAUAUGUAUGUAUAAAAUCUAGUGGUAGACUUGCAAUUUUAGGAUCACUUACAUCAAUAUAUGCACAUAAAAGAGGAAAUAUUCAAAAGUAAAGUACUUUGAAAUAAAGUGCCUUAGAGACACCCCAAAAUAUGAAAAACAAUAGCCUAAUGAAGAAUUAAAAGUAACAAGUUGUAUAACAAUGUGAAUAAUAUAAGCAAUGUUUGGGCAUGUAAUGUGAGAUAUACCAAGUUUCCAACAAUAUGAUAUAAAGUAGGGUCUAGGAAAGGGAUACCAUGAUAAGAAGAAUACAAACAUUAACUUCAAGAGGAUUAUUAACAGUCUUAGUAUCACUAAGGUCAGCACAAUCAAGAAUGCUAACUGCGUACUUAAAUUGCCGGAAAAGAUAAUAUUUCAAAGAACAAGCUACCUUAAUUCCUAAGAAGUAAUUAGAGAGUUUAAAUCCUUCAUUUCAAAAUGAGAAGCCAAGUUUGAUUUCGAAACCUCAUCAACAUCAUCACCUAUAAUAAUUAUGUCAUAAACAUAUAGAGAAAGUAGAAUACAACUAGUAGUGGUGCAUUUUAGAAAGAGUGCAGGAUCAUGAUGUUUAGGGCAAAAGCCAAGAAAAGUAAGUAUAUCAUAGAACUUCAUAAAUGAAGCACAAGAUACUUGUUUGAAACCAUAUAAAACUUUCUUGAACCUACAAACUUCUCCAUGGUUAUAAGAAACACUAGGAGGAGACACCAUGUAAAGACUUCUUCUUGAAGAUGUCCAUUUAAGAAGAUAUUUUUAACAUCCAUAUGAGAUAUGUGCCACUCAUGAACAAAGCCAAUUGCAAUAAGAAUAGCAUAGUAGUCAUCUUUGUAACAAAAAAAAAUCCUCAUAAUCCAUACCAUAUUAUUGAGAUAAUCCAUUAGCAUCUAAUCGAGUUUUGUACCACUUAAUCAAAUCAUAAAACUUAGUUUUGAUUUGAAAUCCAAUUGUACUCUUACUAGGUUGUAAAGGUACUAAAUUUCAAUGUAAACCUUCCAUUUUGUUCAUUUAGCACAUGCCUUAUUAGGUGUUCUUUCAAUACUCCUUAGUAAUCCUUAAUGGCCCAUUACUACUCAUACAAAUUACUUUUUUUGAGCCACCUUGGAGACUUCGAUUGGGAGAUUUAUCUAGCCCCUCAUUGUGACCAUUUGUCACCCUAAGUUAGAUAUAGGAUUUUCCUUUUUAUUAUUUUUUAGGAUAGCUCAUUUUGAUGCACCUUUAAAAUAGCUUACUUUGGCAUAUCUAGGUACAUUUUUUUUAGGCACCCUUCUGAUUUCCCUAGGUUACUUAGGCAUUUUUCUGAUCCCCUUAGAUCACUUCGGUACCAUCCUAGGUCCACCUAAGCUCACUUAGGUCCAUUUAGGCACAUCUAGCCCAUUUAGGAUUACCCUAACCUAUUUAGGCACAUUUGACCCAUUUAUGAUCAUCUUAACCCAUUUAGGGUCACCCUAGUCCAUUUAGUAAUCUCCGAUCCAUUUAGGAUCAGUCAUGCCUAUUUAGGCACAUUUGGUCCAUUUAGAAUCACCUAGGCCCAUUUAGGCACAUUUGACCCAUUUAGAAUCGUCAUUUAUUAAAUAGUUAGUUUUUUCACUAAGACAUUCAAAGAAAUCAAUAUCUAUCAAAGUUGGAUCAAAUAUGCUACUAUUAUAUAAAUUAAUUUUCAUCUAUUUCAUUUUAACCUUUAAUAAUAUAUGGUAAAAGUUGAAUAAAUAUUUGAACAUAUGAUAGGUAUGUACCAACACCCUUUCCUAUCACACCCAUAACAAUUCUCAAUAUUGUUUCACUUCUAAUGAUAUUGUGUGGUUUAUUUUGUUAUGUCAACUUUCACUUUAAUAUUAAUAAUCAAGGAGUGAGAUUUGUAUUUGCUUCUAAGGAUUAACAUUACAUUCGCAUUGGGGAAUGAAAUUGCUUCCUUGUGUAGAUCUAAGCUAUACCAAUAUAUGAAAUUUAUUUUCUUUAAAUAACUUUUGGCUAGAAUUUGCAAAUCGCUUUUGGUUAUAAGCAUGAUUUUUACCUAGUUUUUGUCUAUAAGAAUAAUAUUUACAUAGCUUUUGGCUACAUAAUAAUUUGUGGAUAACACCCGACAAUAAUGGUAUUGGAUGAGAUUUGUAUAUAGCUUUUGGUUAUGACGAAACAAAAUAAUUUGUUUAUAACUUCAAUUUUUAUAUAAUAAAAUAAACAUUAAUAGAAAUAUAUAACAUAUAUUCUACAUUAAUAAUCUUAAGUUUAAGAUAAAUAAAUUAUGUUAAGAUAUUAGGAAUGUUUAGAUAUUAGAAAAGCUGAGAUAUUAUGAAUAUUGAGAUAUUAGGAAUAUUAAGAUAUUAGGAAAGUUGAGAUAUUAGGAUAUUAGUUGUUAUUUUCUUAUAUCAUUCUUUCCUUGUAUCAUUCUUUCUCAUUCUUAGAAUGAUGAUUACCCUCUAUAUAUACUCUGUAUAUGAACGAAUGAAAUAAUGAAUGAAAAAACUACCAUUUAUCAAUUUGAAGAUGGUAUCAGAGCCAUGGAACUGAAAUCCUAGAUAUUUUGUCGCUAUGGUAGUCUGACAGCGAUCAACCAUCCUAAGACAAGCCCUAAUAUUGAUAAGUCAACCUUCAAAUGCACUCACUGCAAUAAGACUGGUCCCACCAGUCUGGAUAUCCCACAAUUUCAAAGCAACGACUCUUGGUAUGACCAGGAAAACAAUGAGGAACCGAGAGUUUGAACCAUGGACCUUUAGAUCAUAUUUAGGCUAUCAACACUUUGUUAUUAAUGAUAAUAAUCGUGAUCAACAGAAGAAGGAUUUCAAGAAAACCUCGACUGCGACUGUUGCCGAAAUAAAAAUAGAGGUUAAUGUUGCUGAGAAAGCCUCUGCAUUGGUAGCCGCUACUGAUCAUGGUGGUAAGUUUUUAAAUACUUUUACACCUGUCAUUAAUAGUGCAUGGAUAAUUGAUUCUGGUGCUACAGAUCAUAUGACUUUUGAUUCUAGAUAGGUUUCACCCCUUAGACUUUCCUCACAAAAAAUUGUUUCCACAGCCAAUGGUAACACAACCUCAGUCAUUGGGGAAGGAUCCUUAACUCUUACUGAUACUUUGAAUUUGGAUUCUGUUUUAGUUAUUCCAUCUUUAGAUUACAAUCUUUUGUCAGUUUCUCAAAUCACUGCAGUCUUAUCUUGUAUUGUCAUUUUUUGGCCUGGAUUUUAUGUGAUUAAGGACAUCCAAACAAGACAGACGAUUGGUUGUGGUAUUAAACGGAGAAAACUCUAUUACUUGGACUUACAGUCAAAGGAUUCAAAUAAGUUGCAACAAGCCUUGAUGGCAGAUGGAUCUGAGGAGGAGAAGAAAAAGUCUGAAAUUUGGUUAUGGCAUCGACGUCUGGGACAUGCUUCCUUUGGUUAUUUAAAAAAAUUGUUUCCUAGUUUGUUUGCAAAGAGUGAUAUUUCUGGUUUCCGUUGUGAUAUUUGUGAAUUGGCUAAAAGCCAUCGUGCUUCGUUUCCGUUAAUUUUGAAUAAAAGUUCGUUUCCUUUUAUGCUUAUACAUUAUGAUGUUUGAGGCUCAUCCAAAGUCCUAACUUUGAGUGGCUCCCGUUGGUUUGUUACUUUUAUUGAUGAUUGUACCAGAAUGACAUGGUUAUGCUUGAUGAAGAUCAAAGAUGAAGUGAACUUGUUGUUUAAAAAAUUUCAUAAAAUGAUUGAAACUCAGUACAAUGCAAAGGUUCGGGUUCUACGUAGUGAUAAUGGUGGAGAAUAUCAAAGUUCUGAUCUUCAAAAGUAUUUGGAAGGACAUGACAUCAUUCAUCAGACUACUUGUUCCAAUACACCCUAACAAAAUGGAGUCGUUGAACGAAAAAAUCGGCACUUGUUAGAGGUUGUUCGUGUUUCCUUGAUAGCAGCAAAAACUCCGAUAUCUUAUUGGGAGAAGCAAUCACAUCUGCCGCAUACUUGAUCAAUCGGGUACCUUCUAUCUCAAUUAACUUUCAAACAGCUCUCCAAGCUCUUACUAAUGUCGUAGUUGCCCCAACCGUCCCAAAUCUACCUCCUCGUGUUUUUGGUUGCGUGACAUUUGUGCAUCUACACAAGCACCAACGCACCAAGUUAACUUCCCAUGCAUUGCAAUGUGUGUUUGUUGGAUAUGCAUUGCACAAAAAGGGAUAUUGAUGUUACCAUACUCCAACUCGACAAAUGUAUAUUACAAUGGAUGUGGUGUUUCAUGAAGAUUCGAUGUAUUUUUCAUCUGAGUCUGAACUUCAAGGGGAGUAUCAUAAGGAAAUUCAGACUCUCGAUUAUGAUUAUCAUAUCUUUGAGGAAGAUGAAUUUAGACAAUUUGAACUAGUGAACCAGGAAACGGGUGAGUUGGAUGAGUGGUUAACAAUUUGGGUCCGAAGAUGUCUUCACUGAAAUACCAAACCAAUCGUCGUCUGUUGAGGGUAUUCUUAAUUUGGAACCUGAUCCAUUCAUGAAACGGUUACCACACCGUCAUAAUAGAUGUAUUCCUAAACCCACAUAUGAGCCUGAAUUAUCUACCAAAGUCAAAUAUCCCAUAAGCAACUAUGUGUCUAACCAUCAUUUGUCUAAAUCAAAUAAGUCAUUUGUAAAUCAAAUAUCUAUUGUAGCUAUUCCUAACAGUGUGUAGGAAGCCUUAGCUGAUCCAAGGUGGAAAGCAGCCAUGAAUGAAGAGAUGAAAUCAUUGCAGAAGAAUGAAAUAUGGGAACUCGUAGAAUGUCCACCAGGAAAGAAGCCAGUUGGGUGUCGUUGGAUCUAUACUGUGAAGUACAAGGUAGAUGGUAGUAUUGAACGAUUUAAAGCAAGACUGGUAGCAAAAGGGUACACUCAAACUUAUGGAAUUGACUACACAGAGACAUUUGCACCUGUAGCUAAGAUCAAUACAGUUCAAGUAUUACUGUCUUUAGCUGCAAACCUAGAUUGGCCAUUACAACAAUUCGAUGUGAAAGAUGUCUUUCUGUAUGGCGAGUUAUCUGAAGGAGUAUAUAUGGAUCUUCCACCAGGAUGCAUGGUGUCAGAAAAGCAAUGUCAGAAGGUGUGCAAAUUGAAGAAGUCAUUGUAUGGGUUGAAGCAAUCCCUGAGAGCAUGGUUUGGAAGGUUCACAAAGUCAAUGAGAGCCUUUGGCUAUCGUCAAAGUAAUUCAGAUUACACUUUGUUCCUGAAAAAGCAACAUGGUAAGAUUACGACACUCAUCGUAUAUGUGGAUGACAUGGUAGUUACAAGAAAUGAUCCUGAAGAAAGAAAAACUCUGCAAAAUUAUCUAUUUAAAGAAUUCAAAAUGAAAGAUCUAGGUUCUCUGAAAUACUUUCUUGGGAUUGAAGUUUCUCGAUCAAGUGAAGGAAUUUUUCUGUCUCAAAGAAAGUAUGUCUUAGUUCUUUUACAGGAGACUGGAAUGUCGGGAUGUCAACCUGUUAAUACACCAAUAGAAGAAGGUCUGAAAUUGUGUGUUGAGCCUAAUCAAGUAUCAACCGAUAAGGGAAGAUACCAGAGACUUGUGGGGAGAUUAAUGUACUUAGAUCAUACAAGACCAGAUCUUGCUUAUGCAUUGAGUGUAGUGAGUCAAUACAUGCAUAAUCCUGGAGAGCAACAAAUGAAUGCAGUCAUGCGUAUUUUGAGGUAUUUGAAGAAUGCUCAUGGGAAGGGAAUUUUGUUUGCUAAAAAUGUUGAUUAUCAGAGUAUAGAAGUAUAUACUGAUGCUGAUUGGGCCGGUGCAGUGGAUGAUAGGCGAUUUACAUCUGGUUAUUUUACCUUUGUAGGUGGUAAUCUUGUGACAUGGAAAAGUAAGAAGCAGAAUGUCGUCGCUCGUUAAAGUGCAGAAGCGGAAUUUAGAGGUAUGACUCUAGGACUUUGUGAGACAUUAUGGCUAAGACUCCUCUUACAGGAUUUAGGUUACCUAUCUAGGCAACCAAUCCGAUUGUUUUGUGACAAUAAAGCUGCAUGUGACAUUGCUCAUAAUCCAGUACAACAUGAUCGUACAAAGCAUGUUGAGGUGGAUAGAUUCUUCAUUAAGGAAAAGUUGGAUGAUAAGAUUGUGGAAUUGCCUAAGAUUCGAUCAGAAGAUCAAUUGGCCGAUAUCCUUACCAAAGCUGUCUCAAGUCAAGUGUUCUCAAAAUUUUUAGACAAAUUGGGCAUGUGUGACAUCUAUGCACCAACUUGAGGGUGAGUGUUGAGAUAUUAGGAAUGUUUAGAUAUUAGGAAAGUUGAGAUAUUAUGAAUAUUGAAAUAUUAGGAAUAUUGAGAUAUUAAGAAAGUUGAGAUAUUAGGAUAUUAGUUGUUAUUUCUUUAUAUCAUUAUUUCCUUGUAUUAUUCUUUCCCAUUCUUAGAAUGAUGAUUACCCUCUAUAUAUACUCUAUAUAUGAACAAAUGAAAGAAUGAAUAAAAAAACUACCAUUUAUCAAUUUGAAGAAAUUAUCCUUAAAGCAAUUUGUAUCGAUAAUAUGUUAUAAAAUUAUAAAUAAACGAGAAAUGAGAUAAUAUAAGGUAUAUAUAGGAUAAUGGGAGAAUGAGAGAAGGAACUUAAGUUAAGGUGACUUUUUUAUUUGGGGUGUUUUUUUUUUCUUUCCAAAAGCUUCUUAUAGGCUCAUAAAAAUUGAAAAUUUAAUAAUGCCUUUACUUAUUUGUGUUAAAGAUGAGUAUUAAUGGAGGUCCUAAUGUGAGAUAACUUAAUGAGAACAUAUAGUUAUGUAAUACUCAUACAUAUUAGGAAAAUAAAAGGUUUGAGAUUCAUUCGAAGUUCCUUCUCGAGUGCUAGUUUCAGCAUAUCCUAGAAGCAAUGGAAAUAUUGAAAGUGAAAAAAAAGAAUACUAUAAGUAAUACGUGGUAGGGGUAACAUAUAGGAUUCGAUAAAAAUAAUUUAAAAAUAAAAAUGAUGGCCACAUUUGGUAACAUAAAUGAGUUUACAAUGUAGUUUAUAAGAGUUUCUUUAGAGUUACAAUUUAUAGGCACUUUAAGGGAUUUUUUUUUUUUUAAAUCGGACUUUUGGGCCAGAGUAACUAAGGGUCCAUUUAGUACCUGUUUUUUAGGAACAAUUUUUUAUUCUUUAGAACAAAAAAAGAAAAAAAAAAAAGAAAAUAUGUUUGAUAACUAAUUUUUUUUUCUAUUUUCUAUUCUUAAAAACAAAAAAUAGGAUAUUUAAAAAAAACAUUUUUUAGUUGUUAUUUAUUUAUUUAUUAUUUUUACUUAUUUUUUAAUAAUUGUUUUAAAAAAUAAUUAUACAAAUAUAAAAAAUGAUUAAAAAUAAAACAUUAGAUAUAAAAAUUAUUUUUAAAACAUAUUUAAUUAAAAAUAGGUUAAAAAAA